Molecule: long non-coding RNA, 64471 nt
Filed under: Gossypium barbadense (sea-island cotton)
Lineage: Eukaryota; Viridiplantae; Streptophyta; Magnoliopsida; Malvales; Malvaceae
Description: long non-coding RNA (GBAR_LNC021278)
Source: RNAcentral
AAACUUUUACCCAUUAAUUCCAUAAACUCCAUAUUUGAAGUUUUAAUACAAUUUCACUUAGCUGCACGGCAUACACGUGCUUGUGAAAAAAACUUAUUUCUCCAUUAUUUAAUAUGUAACUUCAUAAGGCACCAAGCAGCCAUUCAGUCAAGGGCAGAACACAACCCUGUAAUUGGUCCCACCAGGGCAAGUAAAUAGGCUUGUUUGAUCAUCUUUAGGGUAACUGUAAGCAUCGGGGCAUCUUGCCUUGAAGAACCUCGAAAAAUCCGUUGGGACACAAUUCCCUGAAUUGCAACAAUAUUGAUCCGUUUUGUAGACCGUGCAAGGGUUAUUGCACCCACCUGGGGCUUUCAACUCAUUAGGGCACUGACCUAUGAUAUCAGCUGUGCAUCGAAUACCCCUGCUGCACCGGCCAGAUGUCGGACUAAAUUCCAUGGGAACAUUAAAUCCAUCAACCAGAGAGAUAUCAAAGAAAUCCAAGUUGUUGAACUGGUUUAAUGCGAAUUCAGCCAAGGUGUUUGGGGCUACACCAUAGGCGUUGCACUGAAGUAGGCCCCCACAGUCACCGGUUUGGCAUCUGCCUCGUCCGGCUCUGUCAAAUUGGCAAUUGGUUCGACCCCAGAUACGGGCUCCUGUAGUGCCAGGAUUCACUUUCAGAUUCCAAACUCCGCCUUUGCUCAGCUCUCUGCCACCACCAGGAACGGCUGCUGCCCAGACCUUGUAAGGACAGUUGUUUCGAAUGUCAAAACUGGCAGCACUGGCCACCGUGAAGCAGAGAGCAAUAAAAGAGAUUGAAAAUAGAGAGAGGCUUUUGAAGUUCAUCUUUUAUAUUAGCUUUCUACUUGUAUGUAGUGUGUUAGGAAAUGGUGGAUUUAUAGAGUUGUGAAUGCGGUUCAGACCAAUAGCUAAUGUAAUCAUAUAAAUGUUGGUGGAGGUAGGAAAUUAUCGUUGUAUUGGCAUUAGAGGUAAAAGUCAUAUAGGAAAUUGUAUUGGCAUUAUAAGUAUAUCGGUGGUCCAUUUGUAAGUGUAAUUAAUGUGAAUUCUAUUAAUUUUUUUACUUAAAAAUAUCAAUUUUAUUUUCUUUUUUUAAUCUAUGUAUCUUAAAAUCUUAUUUUAAAAAAUAAAAUAUGACUUUUUUAAGGAAAACAAAAUAUGAAAAUUAAACUUUAGGUUAACUUUUUUUUUUUCAAUCACAUGAUUUUAUCUUUACGAUAUAAUGAAAGGAAAAGAUAAUAUAAAGUUUAAAUCCAUAUCAUCUAAAUACCAAAUGAAAAUUCAUAUCAUUACUCUAAACAAGUCUUCACCAAUCAAAUCAUUUUAUUAUAACCAUAUUUGAUAAACUUUUUUUUAAAACUCUUAUAAUUGAUAAACUUUUAUAAUGUACAAAGUAAUAAAUGAAAAAAAAAAUGUUGUCCUAAUAUCCAAUGACUUCACGAGUUCUAACUAGUAUCAAGAAAAACAAGCUUUCAAAAAGACAUAAGUUAUGGAUAAAAAAUUAUUUGAAGGGUAGCUCUCUUUUCUACUAAAUCGUCCAUUUUAGGGGGAAGGGGGGGGUUCAUGUUCUUCAACACCUCACCUUUGUAAUCAAAUUUAAACCCAUUAAUGAUGAAUAUCCAUUUCGUGGUGAUUCAUUUUUUAGGAAAUCGAAUCUGAUUCAAAUGAAGACUUAAUAUAGGAACCAAGGUGAAGGGUUUGAUGGGAGGGAAUACCAGGACAAAUGGUGUCCUCUAGCUCUUUGGAGUGAAAGAUUAUUAAGGUUGAUUCAAAGGUACCCUUUAUUUCUCUUAUAGGGUUCAAGUUUUAGAUCCACUUUAUUUCUCUUUAAUGGGUUUUCUUAUUUUUGAAUACAAUGAUUUUUUGUGCAUUUUUCCAUCUCCAUCCAAUAAUCAUCUGAAGAGCCACAAUUCAGCUUCACCAGACUCCAAAAUACCCAAAUUCACGAGGAGAGGGCCAUACAGUCCCCAACCUAGGUCCCACCCCUUUCGAACACGGCACACACAAUCUAGGAUUCAUCCACCAUUGGGAUUCAGUCACAAUCCACCCUUCCUUGGAUGCUUUUACAAAGAGAACGAAGCUUAGCAAGAAACAAUUUUUUUUUAAAUUUAUUAUUUUUAUAUAUUUUUGUUGAAUUGUUUAGAUUUAGGAUCAAAUUGAGAACACUUGUAAAUUUUGAGGGCUAAUUUUUUAAAAUCAUGACUAAAUUGAUAUAAUAUGUAAAAGUUGUGGGCUAAAUGAUUGAACUAUACAAUGUGGGUGCUUAUUAUUUUGGGUGCCUAAAAUAAAAAAAAUUUGAUAGUUGGGUGACUAUCAAUGCAGUUUCCCAUAUUAUUAUCAAUAAUAUAUAAAUAACUUUAAAAUAUAAACCCUGAAAUUUUUUUAAAUGAAAAAACUUUAAAGAGCUUAUGAAAAUAAUGAUCUACUCUUAUUUAUAAGGUAAGUGUGAGCUAUGAUAAUAUUUUAGUUAAUGUGGGAUUGAAAUUAAUCUUUUAAUUUUGUAAAAUGCAUAUGAGAGUAUGUAUAUUUUUUAUUUUAUUAAUUUAUUUGUAAAUUAAAAAACCCUCAAUUUGUAAUAAAAAAAAUUAUUGAGGAUAAAUUACAUAAUAAUUUUUAUUUAAGAAAAAAAAAGAGCAAACGUUAAUGCUUAUAAAAAAAAUUUAGAUAAAAAAAUAAACGGUUAAAAUAUAUUUUUUUACUCAUAAAUAUUCUUUUUAACUAAUCAUAAAAAUUAAAGAAAUAUUAAUUAAUUUAAAAUAUAAAUAAUUCAUGUGGAAAAUUUGGGUUUUCCACAUCAAUUAGGAGCCUAAGACCUUCUAAUAUAUAAUAUAUAGGAUAUAUUUAUAUUUUAAGAAUAUUAUAUUAUAUUUCAAAUUUCUUAUUUAUAAAUUUUAUAAAAUUAGGUUAACAAGUGCGUAAGGGACAUGAACCUCUUUCAGAACAUGGUGCAAUAUCCAUAUUUCAUAAAUAAUUCAAAACAAGACCUCUAUGGUUUAAGAAGAAAUUCAAAUUAACUAAGUCAUUCGUUGCAUAUUUGGGUAGUCCAAAAUCAAAGUGAUAUGGGGGUAACAUCCAAUCUAAGGUAAUUAAUAGAUCAAAGCAAAAAAAAAUGUUUUGGAUUAAUCAUAGAGAGGUCCCUAAAAAAAUGUUUUGGAUUAAUCAUAGAAAGGUCCCUAAGUUUUUGUCACAAGUUAAAAGAAAGUGCCAUGUGUCAUCAAUCAAUUGGCUAAUAGGUCAUAUAAAGAAUCCGUUAGUAGAUUAAUGAAAAUUUUAAUGACAGUGACUAAUUUGAACAAUUAUAUUAAUUAGAGGAACCAAAUUGAGAAAAAAACCCUAUUUUAGAAUGAUCUUAGGUGUAGUUUACCCUUAUACUUUUAUGUGUGUCUAAAAUUACUAAUUUUUUUAGAGAAAAUAAAUUCAUUAAUGAGAAAGUCACAAAACAAAAGCAAACACAAAGAGGAGUCGGACUACUAAACCCGAGCCAACAGGCUCACCCCAUACACCCGAUCUUACCGUCCGCAAUCCUCACUUGUAUCAACAUAAAACAUAAUUUCAACAUUAUUCAAAGAAGAUGCCAUGUGGUUUGCAUAUAACAAAGCCACUCACGCAAGUGAGUGGGCUGCCCUAUUGGCCUUUCAGCACCAAACAAUCAUGUAGCAGUGAGCCUAGCUCAGAUGCAUCAAUUGUACAUGCUUUUUUUCCAUCAAACUACAUACCCAUAGUAGCCCAAAACACAUGCAGUUUACCACAUAUAUGGUCCAACUUCCGAUAGUACGCAAUCCUCCAAGAUCUAAUGAAAAACAAGGGAGCCACUACACCCCAAAAUCCCAUUACAAAGCCAAGAACUAUACUGACAUAAAGCCAAUUCACUUUACUUCCUUCAUUGCUACUUCCAUUAUUUGCAACAUCAGUUGGAAUACCUUUUGAGGUGCAGUUCUUAGAGAGAGGAGGUCCGCAAAGAUGAUUGCCCACAUAAGACAAGUUUUCAAAGCUUUGAAGUUGAGUGCUUGUUGGGAUUUGUCCUGUCAAGUUGUUGUAGGACACAUUGAAGUGAUUCAAGAAAUUUAAAUUGGAGAAACUUGGAGGGAUUUCACCAUUUAGUCGAUUCAUGGACAAAUCAAGAGAUUCCAUUAACUCCAUGUUGCCAAUGCUGUUUGGUAUAUUUCCUGUUAGGAGAUUCCCUGAAAAAUUUAAAGACAAUAGUCCAACGAGACUACCAAUUUUUUUGGGGAUCUCUCCUGUGAGACUGUUAGCUGAAAGGUCCAUGCUCGUAACAAGUCCUAAUGUGCUACCAUAUUCAUCCUCUUGUCCUUUCAACACCAAUAAUGCUUUCAAAUAAAAUUUGUAAAAAUUUGAAAGCGACAAAGAAAAUUCAUUAUUGGUUUUGAUUUUUGUGGCCAUUGCACUUAAAUUAUUGAAACAUUUUGGAAUAACUCCUGAAAUGUUGUUGUUGGCAAGGUCCAAGUUUUGAAGAAAUUGAAGAUCACAAAUUUUGUGAGGAAUAUGACCAUCAAAGUUAUUUGAUCGAAGGCUUAGAACCACAAGGUUCGAGAGCUUAUCACCAAUCCAUGCUGGUACACUUCCACUGAAAUGAUUUUCACUAAGAUCAAGCAUAACUAAACUCCAAGAAUUUCGCAAUGUGUAGGGUAAUUCUCCAAACAUGCUAUUAUUUCGAAGGUUUAUCAAAAAAGGAUAUGUAUAUCCCAAAGUAGGUGGGAUUUUCCCUGUCAAAUUGUUGUUUGCUAAAUUUAAAUAAGCUAAAAUCUCCCAAUGAUUCCAACAAUCUGGAAUUUCUCCAAUGAGUAGAUUUGUAUCAAGGUAAAGAGCUACCAUUCCCGUUAAUGAUGGAUUACAAAUUAAUUCGGAAAGGGAUCCUGAAAAUGAAUUAUUUGACAAAUGUAAAAUACAUAAAGUUGAGAUUACUCUUGGCAAUGGACCUGUAAAGCGGUUUGAACUCAAGUCAACAGAGUCUCUCACAUUCAAAUAUGAAAUCUCUCCUGUAAGUUGAUUCGAGGAAAGAUUUAAAUAUUCAAAUUGAGUGGGAAGGUUUAAAAACCAAGUGGGCAUGACAUCUGAAAUUCCUACAUGGAAGAUAUCCAAAUAAGACAAUUUCUUUUGAAAUUUUAACCACUGGGGAAACUUUGGGCCAAGAUGCCAAUGACCCAAUUCGAUUCUUUCACAUUGAAAUGGGGGAAUCCAAUUUGAGUUUGGUUCAAAUCUAAGCCUAUUAUCAGAUGCCUUUAGAGUUGUCAAUCUCGUGAGAUUAAAAAAAUGGGCUUCGAAUACAACUCCUUCCAAUAGAUUAUGCCCAAAAUCCAGUGUUUCCAAAGAUGAUAACUCCCCUAUCGAUGAUGAAAUGGGACCAGAAAUUUUGUUUUGAGCAAGGGACAAGUAAGAUAGAUUUUUAAAUUGUCCAAGUUGAUCAGUUAAAUGACCAGAAAGUUGGUUAUUGGUCAUAUCCAAUGACUCUAAGGAAUCCAAACAACAUCUAGACAAACUCUGUAGGAUUUCUGAUAUUCCACCUUCAAUUUUAUUAUUCGAAAGAUCAAGGUGAGUAACAGAGCUCAAGUUUCCAAUGGCACUCGAGAUUGUUCCUUGUAACUGGUUUGAACUAAGACUAAGGAACUGAAGACGGUUUAGACUAUACAAGGAAUUGAGUAUGGAUGAAUUGAGAUGAUUCCAACUAAGAUCAAGAACUUCAAGAAACGAGGUGUUCCCAAAGUAAUCUGGAAUUGGGCCUUCCAAAAAACAAAAGCUAAGAUCAAUGGACACAAGACCAUGGAGACUAGAUAUCCACUUAGGUACUGAAGAAAAGUGGUUGGAAGAAAGAUCAAGAACAACCAGUGAUUUUGUAGAAUUAACACUAAUCGGCGAUGGAUAAUCUUCUAAGCCACAAGCUGACAAGUGCAACUCUAAUAAAGAAGGAAGUUUGAGUGUUACCUGUACCCAAUCAUUUGCUUUGUGAAGAUCCGCAGAACUCAAAUCAAGGUACUCCAAGGAAGAAAGUCCAGAAACCCAUUGAAGACUUUUUGGUUUGAGAUAAUUACCACCAAGAUCAAGAUAAUGCAACUUUGAGAGAUUCCCAAGGUUAUGAGGAAUUGCUCCCUGGAAUUGUGCAUUAGAGAGAUUAAGAUAUGUUAAACUCUCCAGCAUACCCAAAAAUUUUGGUAUCGGUAUGCUACCAAAAUUGUUAUUGCUUAAGUCCAGAAAACUGAGAUGCUUCAACUCCAACAGUGAAGGAUUUAUGGCCGACUGGUCGUAAGAUGAAAGAGCAGCCAAGUGCAGUUGGUGGACGUGGCCUGUUGAGUUAUGGCAGACGACACCAAUCCAUUUACAGCAAUCCCCUCCUUCAACCCAUGAAGAUAGGCUGUUUGAAGGAUCAAUAAGAUGAUUCUUGAAUUUCAAAAGAGCUUCUCUCUCACUUGGAAUGCAAAGUAGGUUGGAAUUGGCAUGACAAAUGGUAAAACAGAUAGCGGGAAUGAGAAGAAGAGAAGGGAAAAAGGAAAUUGGAAGAGUAGUCAUGGUUGAAAUUGCAUGCUACCAACCAUUGCUCACAACUCCAAAUAUAAACUAUACGCAACAUCAUACUAAAAUAUAAUUUGUCUUAUUUUGACCACGUUAAUUUUGUAUUUCAAUUUAGUUAUUGUUGUUAAAAUAAUUGUUCAAAGUAGUUAAUCUUGUUAAAAUAACUCAUUUUUCACUAACAGAUUAUUGAUAUAGCAUAUUAGCCCAUUGAUUGACAACACAUGAUACUUUUUUUGUUAAUUUUUGACUAAACUUUAGAUACCUUUUUCUAAUUAAUCAAAAACAUUUAAAAAAAAAACUAUAUUAAAACAAAAAAAUUAAAAUAUAAUUUUUUAUCAAAUCCAUACAUAUUUCCCCGUCAACUUUGACUUCAAUGUCACUACCACCCCAAGACGACAAUGAUACCUGCAAAAAUAAUAAAUGAAGGAUUCGGGCUUUAAUUAUGGAAGAACCAACUCAACCAAGUAGCUGCUUUUGCUUGCUUACACUGUGGUCUGUGGCUAAGACAACGAGGGUUGUAGUCGCAGUUGUAGUUAUAGACACAAGGGAAGGGUUGGGGUAUAUCCAUGUUGAAGCAAUGAUCGUUGACCAUUAGAGCUUGGGUUGUGAUGCUUUAGACAAGGACGACUCUAUUAGUUCCAGAGUUGUUUCGCUUUUGGUCUAGGGUUUCCAUUUUCAGAUCCUUGUGCUCGUAAUCUAUAUCCAAAUAUGAAUCCUGUUAAGUAUAAAAUCAAGUGGAAGCUAGAAAUAAGUGUCACAUUUAUUGAAGAUAGAGCCUUACAAAUGACAAAUAUAUAAUCACAACUAACACCUAUAUCAUGUAUAAAUAAUGAUCAACACUAGUUUAAACAAAUGUAGAAAGUUGUUCCUAAAGAAUAGGACUUAUUGGAACAGAAAAACAACUUUGAAAAUACUAAAUAAUUCAAACAAUUCCUCCCAUAAAUUGUUCUGCAUAUUUGCAGUCAGGUUACUUCUCUACAAAUUCCAAGUUUUUCCCUAAGCUUUUCAAAUGUCUCUAGCUUCAACGCCUUAGUAAUGAUGUCUGUUGUCUACUCCUUUGUUCCACAAUGGAUAAGCUCAAUAACUUUAUCAUUAGAUAAUUCAUGAAGGAAGUGGUACCUUACAUGAAAGUGUUUGUUCCUUCCAUACAAUAUGACAUUCUUUGAUAGUUUGAUGGUGGAGGCAUUGUCACAAUAUAAUGUGAUACUUCAUUUUUGAGGAUGAUUGAAAGCAUCCAAGAUUCUUCUCAUCCAAACUGCUUGACAAGCACAUGAUGUUGUUGCUACGAACUCUGCAUUGGUGGUAGAUAAGGUCACUACUUGACAAGCACUUUCUCCAAAUAGAAAAGCCUAUCUUGAAGUGCUCCUUCUGUCAUCUUGAUCCCUAGCAUAAUCACUGUUUGUGUAGCCAACUAACUCGCCAAUUCCACCUUUUUUGUACAAAAUGCCCAGUUCCGAGGUUCUUUUUAUAUAUCAAAGGACCCUUUUUGCUACACUAAGAUGAAGUUCAGUAAGUUUUUCCAUAUAUUGACUCACCAGUCCAACCAAAUACAUUAGAUCUGGUCUGGUCGUAGUUAAAUAUCGAAGAUUCCCCACAAAUUGCUUAUAACCAGUGACAUCUUCUUUGACUCUAUCUUCAUCUUUCACAAGUUUUGUUCUUGGAACAAUUGGACUUCUAACAGAGUUGCACCUUAACAUACCAAAUCUCUCAAAAACUUUAUUAGCAUACUUCCUCUAACUAAUAAAUAUGCCUUUAUCAUUCUAUAACACUUCAACUCCAAGAAAGUAUUUCAUCUUUCCAAGAUAAGUCAUUUUAAAUUCUCGCAUCAUAAAAUUUUGGAAGGCUUUAAUUAUUUCCUCAUCAUUUCUCAUGAAUAUGAGAUCAUCAACAUGCAAACUCUUCCUUUUGAAUCAAUUUGAAUAAUAAUAGUAGGUUCAGAUGGGCACCUUUCAAAACUAUCUUUUGUAAAAUAGGACUCAAUGUGACUAUACUAUGCCUUUGGAGCCUGCUUCAAACCGUCCAAGGCCUUCUUUAAUUUGUAGACUUUAUGCUCCUCCUCUUCUUUCUCAAAGCCACAUGGUUGAUCAACAAAAACUUCCUCCACCAAUUCUCCAUGAAGGAAAGCGCUUCUAACAUCAAGUUGUUGGAUAUUCCAACCUUUUUACGCAACCAUUACAAUCUCCAUCUGGAUUGUAUCCCAUUUUGCAACUGGUGCAAAAACUUCAUUGUAAUCAAUUCCAUAUUUUGCGCAUAUCCCUUCACCACCAAUUGUGCUUUGUAUUUGUCAAUCUCACCAAGGUCAUUUAGCUUGGUUUUGAACACCCAUUUUACUUCGAUCUUCUUUGCACUAACCGAUAAUUCCAUCAAUUCCCAUGUUUCAUUUUUUUUCAAUGGCUUGAAUCUCUAGUUUCAUAGCUUCAAGCCAUUUUUCGCAUACAACAGCUUCUUCAAAAGUGAUUGGAUCUGCUACGAUGUAUAGAACCAAGUUAUUGACUUCUUUGUCUUCAUCAGAAAGGCCUAGUCUUACGCCACUCAGAUAAUCUUUUUGCCACUCUAGUGCUAUUCUAUUCUCCCGUCUAAUCCUCUAUUGAUCUAUAGCUGGAAUGUUCAGACUUGGUGGUUCUUCUCCAACUACUUCCUCUAUGUUUGGUACAAUGAUGUUAUCUUCACUCACAUCAUCCUUAAGAGUAAUAUCUUUCCAUUCCAACUCUUUGUUUGCAUCCUCUGAAAUUUGACUCCAAUCCCAGCCUUUAUCUUUUUCAAAAACAACAUCACGACUUACCACAUUACUCCUAGAAACUAGAUCGUACAAUUGAUAAGCCUUUGAUUCAUUGCUCACACCAAAGAAAACACACUUGUAGCUUUUGUUGUCUAACUUUGUUCUUCUUUGUUCAGGUAUAUGUACAUGGGCAACACACCCAAACACUCAGAAAUGGUCCACAAAAGGUGUAACAUUGCUCCAUACCACUUCUGGUGUUCAUCUAUUCAUGGCUACUGUCAUGCUCCUGUUCAUCACAUGGGUACACCAUUCAAUUGCUUCUGCCUAAAACUCUUUUGGGACAUUUUUUUCAGAUAACAUGCUUCGAAUUGAGUUCAUAAUAGUUAGAUUCCUCCUCUCUGCUACUCCAUUUUGUUGUAAGGUGUAGGCUAUAAUCAAUUGCCUACAAAUACUAUUCUCCAAUCAGAAAUUAUUAAAUUCAUAGGACGUGAACUCUCCACCCUUGUCUAUGCAUAAGCAAGCUAUACACUCACCACUUUCAUUCUCAACAUAUUUUUUAAAGCUCUGAAAUACCUCAAACAUCACUGAUUUGUAAUGCAAGAAAUAGACCCAAAAUUUUUGACAAAAUCAUCUAUAAAACUGAGUGAGUACCUCUUCCCACCUAUAGUAAUCGGUGUAAUUGAUCCACAAAUGUCAAAAUGUAUCAACUGCAAAUUUCUUGAUGCUCUCCAUGAACUUUUCUUUGGCAUUUCCUCCCUAUGUUGCUUUCCGACCAAACAAUGGAGACAUACUUUGUUUGGAAUGUUGAUUGUUGGUAAGCCAUGAACUAACCUUUUAGAUUGCAUCAUACGUAAGCUUUUGUAGUUCAAAUGACCAAACUUGCAGUGCCAUAGAUGAGAGAUAUCUUUUGUGGUAGUUUGGAAGCAUGAUGAAACCAGCAGUUGUGAACAUGGUAAAACAAUAUCUGAAAGUACAAAACGUUCGAUUUCUAGUCAUUUUGGUUGUUACAAUGAGCCCUCUUUGUGGAUAAUACAACUUGCACUCAUCCCCUUGAAUCAAAAUAUCUAUCCCUUUCUCCUAAAGCUGUCCCAUGCUCAACAAAUUAUUUUUUAGAUCUGGAACAAAGAAAACUUCAGAGAUUACCUGUUUAGUGCCUUCAAUCUCUAAUCUAACACUUUUUUUCCCAUUACUACCAUUUUCGUAUCAUUUCCAAGCUUGAUGGAGUGUCGAAAGCUUUGAUCAAGAUGAGAAAACUAAUUUAUUGUUCCCACAUAUAUGAUUCGAGCAUCCCGAAUUAAGAAAUCAUACGCCAUCUUGUUGUGAGUUAUGUGUCUCCACACAUGACAUUAAGAGUUUCUCUUCCUUUUCAUCAAGUCCUACAAAGUUAGCUUUACUCUCACACAUUGGACAUUUAUACUGAAAAUGCCUCAGUUUGUGACAUUUAUAGCAUUCUACCCGUGUUUUGUCAAAUGAUCUCCCUCUGUCUCUUCCAUGUCCUCUAUAUGAAUUUGCGCCACAUCCUCUACUUUCAAACCUUUCGUUACUAGCAACAACUUUUAAGGCAUGAUCUUCUUCUCUUUCCAUUCUCUUAAACUUUUGUUCAUGUACAGAUAAUGAACAUUUCCAUUCAUCAACUGACAUGGUAUGUGUAUCUUUUGCCUCUUCAAUAGAUAUUACCACAUAGGUGAAACAUUAUAUCAAAGUCCACAAAAUCUUCUCCACGAUCACCAAGUCAGACAUGAUCUCCCCAUUGCUUCGUAUCUAGUUUGCUACAACCAUCACUUUAGCAAAAUAAUCUUUGACCAUUUCUCCUUUCUUCAUUUCCAACACCUCAAAUUCUCUUCUUAAGGUGUUGAGAAGAAACCUUUUCACUCUCUCAUUUCCACCAAACUUAAUCUUCAAAGAAUCCAACAUGAUCUAUAGCUUGAUAUAGAUAGUGUUUGACCCUGUGAUCCUUCAUCAUUAUCUUGUCCAUCAGUACUUGUUGCACGAUGGUCUGCACAAUCAUUGUUUCAGGCUCCUCGAAGCCUUUCUCAACUAGAUUCCACAAUCCUUUGAACCUCAACAAAUUCUCCAUCUGCUCACCCCAAUGGUCAUAAUGAAGACCAUCAAAAUGAGAAAUCUUUGUAAGACUACCUUCACUCUUUUCUUCACUCAUAUCCUUUUAUUUCCUCAACAACUUGGCUACCAGAAUGUUAAGUAUAAAAUCAAGUGGAAGCUGGAAAUAAGUGUCACAUUUAUUGAAGAUAGAAAGCUGACUUUUAUAGCCUUACAAAUGACAAAUAUAGAAUCACAACUAACACCUAUAUCGCCUAUAAACAAUGAUCACCACUAGUUUAAACAAAUGUAGAAAGUUGUUCCUAAAGAAUAGGACUUAUUGAAACAGAAAAACAACUUUGAAAACACUAAAUAAUUCAAACAAAUCCAUCUCAGAAAACACAUACAAAAUAUGGGUAUAAAGGCUGCCCCAUAGUAAAUGGCUAAGUUAAUUAUGUUUUAGACCUCCUCAUAUUAUUUUCAAUUUUUUUCAUAUUAAAAUUUUAAAUAUAGACAACUUAACAUUUUUUUUAAAUAUUAUGGGCCGGAUAAAUUAUUUUAUGAACCUUCCUUAUCACAUCAGUCAUGAUCCUUACCAAUUAAAAAUAAAUAUAUCAUCUUUUUUUUUGCAUCAUAUGUACAGCUGGUAAGAAGAGAUCGUGGAUGAUGUGGAAAAAAAAAGAUUAAGUACUUAUUUUUAAUUUGUAGGGACCAUGGAUGAUGUGUUAAGGAGAGCUCAUAAAAUAAUUUUUCUUGUUAUGGUAAUUAUUUGAUACACCACCAAUGGAAUUUCUUGGACUCCAUAAGCGGAUCGAGAGUUUCACAAAUACGACAAUUUUCAGAUAAUUACUUUUUUGAUUUUUUUUAUUACGCCCUAUAAUUCUCAUGUCAAACUCAAAUUAGUGAAAUGAAAGAAACGGAAACAGAUUCUACAAAAUUAGUGAAAGUUAAAGAAAUUGGCACAAUUUCCUUUAAGCAUGUAAUAAUUCAGACUAUGAGGCAAUGAGUUGGAAGUAACUGGAUACAGAUAAAGAAGUUGUUUUUCGUUUUUUUUUUUGUUUUUUUUAAUGAAAGUUGGAGAAUACUUUUAAUGGAAAAUGAGUAUACCUAUUCAUGGGCCUGGCCACCUGACACGACCAGAAGAUCUGCUUGAAAAGUGGUAAGAUUUGACAAAAAUAUAGGCCUAAAAAAUGGGUUUGGCAAAAUCUAAACGGUUUGGAAAAAUCUUAAAAAUUUUAUUUUGUUGUUAAUUUUGCUACUAUUUUAGAGGCAUUUGUGUGUUAAGUUGCACCUAUUUUAGUGUUGUUCAAGUAUAAAGAUUUUUAAAAUUUUAUUUUCAAUUUGUUGGGAAACAUUUAUUUUUAAUGUAUUAUAUUUUUAAAAAAAUACUAUAAAAAUUUUAAUACAAGUGUGCCGGACCCGAGUUUUAGCAUGUUUAUCCGGGUUGAGAUUGGACAAAAUUUUAAGUCAAUUUUUCGAGCCAAACCUAAGCCUGAAAUUUUAUCAAUGCCCACCCCAAACCUGACCUAGUGUAUGAAUAGAUUUAGAAAUGAGUAACGAAAAUCAUGGGGGGGGGGGGGAGUAGGGACCGUUGCUUUUGAAUUUUGAUGCUCUUCAUUUCUCUUGCUUUUUGUCAUUAUCCCAAAUUUCCAUGUAAAGUACCUGAAAUUUUAUGAAAGCCCACCCCAAACCCAACCUAGUGUAUGAAUAGAUUUAGAAAUGAGUAACGAAAAUCAUGGGGGGGGGGGUAGGGACCGUUGCUUUUGAAUUUUGAUGCUCUUCAUUUCUCUUGCUUUUGGUCAUUAUCCCAAAUUUCCAGGUAAAGUAACAUUGACCUUGACCUCCAUAGCAAUACAGCUAACACCAGUACUGUUUUUGGGAUUGAAUCACAAAUAUUUAUAGCAUUCGGCAUAUAUAGAUUUGUAAAUUCUUGCUCUAAUUCACUUGAAUCAAAACUCGACCCAAAUUGAACGUUGAUUGUAGUUAUAUUGUUAUUUAACUUAAUGUUUAUAUUAUUAUUAUUUAAGCUAGUCAGGUUGAUGUCACGAGUUAAUCGGGCAGCAAUUCGAUGAAGAAAAUUAUGAAAAUAUCAUUCUGUAAUUAAAAUAAGUUAAUAUUAUUCGAGGGUACUUUAGUCUUUUUAUUUAAAAAACCAAUAAAAACAUAGGCAUAAGAUAAAUUCCACAGAUACUCUUACUAGAAGUUGGAUUGCAUUUUAUCCAUAUUACUUUUAAAAUUAGUAAAUUAGUCCUUGUAUGUUAGAUUAAAGAGCAAAGUAAUUCUUUCUGUUAAAAAAUUCAUCUAUUUCAACUAUAAAAAUUGAUGUAGCUAACAAAUUAAUCAGACAAUUACUUGUGACAUGCCAACGUACAAUGACCAAUUUUUAAAAAUUGAUGUAGCUAACAAAUUAAUCAGACAAUUACUUGUGACAUGCCAACGUACAAUGACCAAUUUUUAAAAGUAGAUAUGGAUGCACCUUUUAACAUAAGGACUAGUUUGCUCUUUGAUCUAAGGUGUCACUAAUCGCUCCCAUAUAGCUAGCUUCAAAUUAAGUUUUAUUUAUUGCUAAGUCUAUAUUAUCAAAGAUGUUAAUGGGUUGGAUUGGUUGGGUUUAUAUAUGAUAUUAGUACAUUUUAUAUUUGCUCAAGCCCAGUCAAACAUAAAAUAUAGGCUUAAAAAUUUGUCUAAGACUGUCCAUAUUUGUAAAUCACUAACUUAAGCCUGUUUUAAGAGAUUUGUAGAACCGGCAAAUUCGUUCAUCAUGUUCUUGAAGAAAAAUGUUCUAUGUUUGAAAAUUUUUUGUUGAUGUUCAUCCAUGAAGCUUUUCGGAGAUCAUGAUGAGUUGUUAAAAAAAAAAAACGAGUGAAGAAAAUAGUACUAUAGUUGAGAAAUUUUAUUCAAAUAUGUAGAAUGAGUUGCAGUUGGUUGGGUGGACCUACACUGGUGUUUUUCAUGCAUUGGCUUGCUUUUUACACUUUCUUCUAUUCAAUCAUUCUCCGUCUCGUGCCUAUAAAUUUUGUGUUUAAUAAGGCCGCUUAAAAAUUAUUUUGCAUUGAUAAUAUAUAUAUAUAUAUAUAAUAUUAUAUUUUUCCACAACAAAUAUAUAAAAUAAUAUUAUAUGUUGUACUUUUUGCAUAAUUAUAUAAUAAUCUUUUAAUUGCAUGUGUUUUAAGGAUCAAAUUGAUAAAAUAUGUGAGCAUUGAGAAAUAAUGGUGUUAUUAUAGCAUUUAGAAAAGGAUAAUGUCUUCACUUUUAUUAACAGAGAGUGAUCAAAAUAGAAACGAUCUAAAACGUUAUGAAAAAACUAAAAAAAUUAUAUAAUUGAGUAAUAAUUAUAUAAUUCCACAAUAACUAGUCCUGACUCAUAAGUAUAGCUUGGGACACAGCUAAAAAGAGCCAUAAAAUAUACACAAAAUGUUUCAAAGAAAGGCAAAGAUAGGAAUGAAACAAAAACAAAUCAAAUUAGUGCUUUUAUAAGAUGGAAAAUUUUACUAAUUUUAUUUUUAGCAUUAUAAUGUCAACUUUUUAUCUGAAAGUUGUGAAUUUCGUUCUUGUUUUGCGCAAAAUCAGUUUUUUUUUUAUUUUUUUAUUUAAAAUGUUGUCGAUGUUGUUUGGUAUAUUUUCUGUUAAGAGAUUCUUUGAUAAAUUUAAUGAUAGUAGUCCAACGAGACUUCCAAUUGGGAUCUCUCUUGUGAGAGUAGUAGCUGAAAUGUUUAUGUUGGUAACAAGUCUUGAUGUGAUAUUGUAUUCAUCUUCUCAUCCUUUCUGCACCAAUAAUGUACUCAAAAAGUAAGAGGCAAUCAGAUGAAAUAGCAGGACCACCACGCAGCAUCAUGCUUAAUUUUUGUGGCCAUUGCACUUGAAUUAGUGAAACAUUUCGAAAUAGCUCUUGAAAUCUUGUUAUGGGAAAGGUCUAAGUUUUUAAGAUUUUGAAGAGCACAAAUUUUAUGAGGCCAUCAAGUUUAUUUAAUCGUAGGCUUCAAACCACAAGUCUAGUGUCUUGAGAGCUUGUCACCACUGAAAUGAUUUUCAUUGAAAUCAAGAAUGACCAAACUUGAAAAUAUUGCAAUGUGGAUGGUAAUUUUCCAAACAUGCUAUUGUUUUGAACGUUUAGCCUUAGAAGAUUUGCAUAUCCCGGAUAAGGUGGGAUUUUCUAAUCCCAAAAACGGAAGAUUCCAUCAAUUUGGAAUUUUUCCAAAUAGGAGAUUUCUAUCAACGUAAAGACCUGUCAUUUGUCGAUCUCCUAAUGAGUUACAAACCAAUUCAGAAAGGGUGGAAAUCCCCCCAGUAGGGAAACUUCCAAGAUAAGAUACCAUUGACUCAAUUCAAUAAUUCCACAUUGAAACAAGGGAAUCCAACUUAAGUUUGGUUGAAAUCUCAAACAUGUGUUUUGGAUGCCUUCAAUGUUGCAAAAUUCGUGAGAUUAGAAAAGUAGGCUUCUAAAACAACUCCUUUGAACAGAUUAUGCCCAAAUGGAAAAGUACCACUUAAUUGAUUUUCUAAAACAUCAAAGAACUUCAAAGAUGAUUACUCCCCUAUAGACAAUAGAAUUGGACAGGAAAGCUAGAAUUUUUUUUUUUUGAACAAAGGAAAGCUAGAUUUUUAAGUCAAUUAAAUGGCCAGAAAGUUGAUUAUCUACGUAUUCAUCGACUUUAAGCAAUCUAAACAACAUCUAGACAAACUCUGCAGGAUUUCUGAUGUCUUGAUCAAUUUUAUUAUUCGAAAGAUCAAGAUGAAUAACAAAGCUCAAGUUUCCAAUGGCACUUCAAACGUUAUCUUGUAAAUUGUUUUUUUUUUUUUGAGUAAGGUUAUCUUGUAAAUUGUUAUAGUGAAGACUAAGGAGUCGAAAUUUGAGACGAUUGGAGCUAAGGACAAGAACUUCUAGAAACGAGAUAUUCCCAAAGUAAUCUGGAUUUGGGCCUUUCAAAUAAUUGACACUAUGAUCAAUAAGACUAAAUAUCAAGUUAUCUUCUAGAAUACGUUUUAUUUGGAGGGGGUAUCCUCACAUUUAUGAGUGCCAUGUUUAGUGAUAGUUAUUGCACCGUCAAUUUUUUCAUACCCUGUUGAAAUUAAAGUGGAUUUUAGGCUCUAAUAUAUAUUUAGGGAAUUGUUCUAUUUUCGAUGUUGAAUUGUGAUGCAUCUUGGAUGGUUUGAUCCUCCUAUGUGAUCAUGGCUACGACAACAUUUUAAUUCUAACUUAAUCAAGAAAACCUAUCAAUUGCUGUUACAAUUUGAGCACUGGCACGUUUGGCACAAAUCCAGAAAUGACAAUCAAGAUGCUAAUAGACUGGUUAAACUAACUCACCAUAAAUUAUAUGAUUCAUGCUUGUAUGAGACCUCCCCGGAAGGCGGUUUAAAUUUUGUAACUAGUUUAGGUAUUCUUUCUGUAAAAAAAAAAAAAAAAAAACAAAGUAAUUAUUUUUAUCAUGCAAUAUUAAAUGAAAGAGAUUAUAGCAAUACUUCUUCUAGAGGCACGUGCACAUGGACAUGCUUUUAACGUGUGCACGUCAUUUAUAUAUUUAUCUUCCAUCGAGUGUCAUCAGUUUAAUUGGAGAUUAAAAAAAAUUCCAAAAAGAAAACAUGAAUAACUAUCAUUCGAUAAAUUUGUUCUGAGAGUCGAAGCAUAACUAUACCAUUAGAUAUAACGGGCACAUUGUAGUAUUUGUUUUCAUACUUUUUUUUUAACUUCAAAUUAUUCUAACAAAUUUCAAUGCCUAUAAGAUUUUCCUUAAAUUACACUAAAAAUUAUUAAAAAUUAUUAAUAAAUUUACGCUUUUAAAAAUUAUAGAAUCACUUAACUUCAAAUUACUUGAGUUACGUCCACCAAUGUUUUUUUAUUAGAUUAACUUUAACAAAAUAAUCCCAAUUAUAUUUACAAAAUUAAAAUGUGACAUUAUAAUAAAUAUAUCUGGACGAGGUAGAAAUUUGACUCUAAAAUUUUUAUUGAAAAACUCUAUCCAACUUGCUCCAAACUCAAUUUUUAAAAACAAAAAAACAAUCUUUGUUUGGCCGGGGUGGAUGGAAUCCCAGCAACUUAAUGGACUUUUGACAACCUCAAUUUCAAAUAUAGGUAUGUAUUUGAUAUGAGUAUAUUAAAAUAAUCCUCACGUACAAAUCCGAAAGAAAACUUAUGUCAAAACUCUCCGCAUGAGAUAUAUCCACGGGAGAUAAUUACAAGAAAUCUUCAAGUAUAAGUUUAUUUUACUUGAUGAUAACGGGCGAAUGGUUGAAAUUAAGCUCAGGGUCAAAAUUGAUUAUCUAAUGGAACUACAUGACUUGGUGUGGGUCUAAUGCUAUAAGAAUUUUGUAUUAUAUUGAUCGACAAAAUAGCCCAAAAAUUGCAAAUAGCUGCGCAAACAUAAGGUUGCAAAGAAUUGCGGCCUUUAAUUUUAUUUUUAAGUUAUCAAUUCUUUUAUUAGUAUGAACAAUAAAUUAAAGGUAUGGCUAGUGACAUUGAUAUGGUGACCUACUUCAAGUGAACUGGCUAUUUAUAUUAUUUUAAAUGAAAACAUAACUAUUGAAUAUCAGAGUAAUAUAGGACAAACCAUGACCCAACAUCAUAGCAAAACACAUGACAGUAAACAAAUCUUCACCCAAUGCUUUAGCAAUAGAUUCAGCCACAACAUUAGUUAUAUUCUCAGGAUAUAUUAACCAAAUCCACACUCUCAAUUAUAUCUAUGUAUGAAGAAUCUAAUUGAAGACAUGUAACAACUUAUUAAUAGAGUUAGAAUUUUUUUUUCUUUUCAUUAUGUAUCAAUCAUUUUUCUUAUUGCAUAAAAAAAAUCAAUUUUAUAAGUUUGUAGGGAAUCAGAAGGGCAUAGACAUGAGUUUUGGCCUCUCAAAGUUAGAAAAUUUUUAAUUUUGUUUUUUAUAAAUAAAAAAAUUAUAAGUCAAUAUAUAGUGAAAUUAUAAUUUCAUCUCUAAAAUAAAAAAAAAAUCAAUUCUAUCCUCUUAUGAAUAAAGAAAUUAUAAACUAAUAUAUAGUAAAAUUGUACUUUAGCCCUCAUAAAAAUGAAAUAAUUUUUGCUUAAUCCCUUUAAAAAUGAUAAAAUUAUAAAUUAAUACGUAAUAAACUUCUAUUUUGAUUCAUGAAAAAACUAUAAUUAUAUUCCUACUCCUGCUAUUUUUUUUUUGAUUCACCCCUUUCUUGAUUGGAACAUUUUCUUACUAACCAACAAAAGCAAAUGGUUGAGCAACCCUGAAAUGUCUAAAUCAUGGUCUUUGCAAUUUGCUAAGGCAUUGAUUGAAUACCACCAAAGAAUCUCUUUCUCAUCUUCCCUUUGAAGUAAUGGAUUAAAACUAUAUACGUGGAAUAACUGGUAAUUUAUACCAUUCCUUUUCAUUUUAAUGAUUAGUUUUUACUUAAAUAAUGUUUAAGAUAAGAUUUGAAUCCUUGUAAUUUUCUUGUCUCAAUGAAUUUGCUUCAAGUUACAUUGGGUUUAAAUAAGGGUGUACGGAAGGGUUUUAAAAAAUCAGAUCCAGACAAUGACGCUCGUAUUUAUCUAUAAUUUGGACGAAAUAGCCAAUGAAAGGAGAGAGGAACCUUUGGUUUUCUUAACGAAAACAAAAUACUAUUUAUUCAUACAACACGUAUGGUAGACAUGUACAUAUGCACAGAAGCUUAUGCUAUAAGAAUCUUUGAUCCCCUGGAUUCCUAGAUAUGAACCAAAGCCCUAAAUAGUGAAAAAUAUGGCCAUUAUUUUGACCGUAUUCCUUUUUCUGUGAAUUGUUAUCAUCUAGAUAUUGUUGGUAAAUAUAAGAAGCAAAUCCCCAAAGAGUGAACAACAUUGCCAAUACCUUAUUUGCAUCCAUUUUCUCCUUAUAAAACAGAACACCAACAACUGGAACAAAUGGCAAACUAAGCAUACUCACAACAUUUGAGAACAAAGAUGACACCAAAUAGAUCAAUCCCACAACUCCCACUGUAAAAAUCUGUCAUGCCAAAGUUGUUCCAAUCAAACUCACUACAUAAUUCACCUUCCCUUUAUCAAAUUUCUCCAUUUCGGACUUUAAAUCCAUUAAAUUCACACUUGAAAACAACCCCAACAAGCAAACGAAACUCGAAACCAAUUAAGUGUAAAUAUGCAUUUCAAACACAACACUAAAUGUCUCCUUUUUGAGUAUUUUGUCAAAUGAGAAUUGUGUUAGAGACAGCAAUAAUGCAUAGCUUGCUGAAGCACCAACUGUUGAUAUAAACCCAACGGUGUGUUCAUUCUUUCCUACUGGAUUUUUCUCAUCUCUUUUGGUCUCUGAACUGUCGGGAUGAAUUGCAACCAUUGAAGCUAAUAUGGUAAUGUAGAUGAUCGACUUAAGCGUUAGGAUACCAAGCUUUUCGGAGUUGAUAACCACUGAAAAGAUGGCGUCGAAUACAAUUGGCUUGCACAAAUGAGGGAAUAUGUUGAAAUGGAAAGUGGUUUAACACCAACUGUAUACAUGAAGUUAUCAAUGACUAGCAGACAACCGUGGGAAAAGUAGACCACAUAAUGAUUAUGUUUGUUGAAGUUAGUUCCAAUGCAGCUAGCUGAUCACAAAGGUGGCCAUGCACAAAUGACAGUAAGCAGUUGAGCCAUGGUGUGCAGCAGCUGAAGCUUGAAGUUGCUGAAUUACUUGGUGCAUUUAGUUGUUUUAAUUCUUUUGUAAUUUAGUUCAUGUUGAACUAAGUAGGUGAAUGUUUUGAUGUAAUUUUGAUGUUGAUUGACUGAAAAAUCAGCAAAGUAAUAUGUGCAAGCUAAUCUUGUAAGUUUCAAUGCAUAUUAGUGGUGUUAGGUAGUUGAUUAGGAGAUUACUUGUUUGUUUUUAAAAGUUUGCUGAUAUAUGUAAUGGCUUAAUGCCUCAUUCUCUUGUUAAUGAAAAUUAUCAGUUGAUUUCCAUUAAAAUUCUCUCUUUUCUUUUCUGGUUUUCCACUUGCAAGCUUCUUUUCUGUUUUCUUUCUUGUUUGUUUCUUCUCCAAGCCUCGAGGCUUGCUGUCCAAGCAAGACCAAAAGUAGUCUGCAGCUGUCUCUAACACCAACAAUUGGUAUCUAGAGCAUUUGUCUUAGUGGACCUAUUGUAUCAAACCAAGAAACUAGAAUGGCUUCUUCAGAAUUUUCACCAGCAGCCCCACCAGUCUUCAAUGAAGAAGGCUUCCGCAUAUGGUUGGUAAAGAUGAAGACUUACCUGUAGGCCUUUGAUCUGUGGGAAGUUGUCAACACAGAUGCUGAGCCAGCACUACUGAGGGCCAAUCCCACAGUAGCUCAGAUCAGACAACAUGCUGAUGAGAGGACCAAAAGGCACAAAGCCAUGUCCUGCAUUCAGAACUGUGUGUCAGAUGUCAUCUUCACCAGAAUUAUGGCCUGUGAGACUCUAAAACAGGCCUGGGAUAAGCUUAAAGAGGAGUUUCAAGGCACAGAGAGGACAAGGCAACAACAGCUGCUUAAUUUGAGAAGGGAUUUUGAGAAUCUACAGAUGAGGGAAGAAGAAAUAGUGAAGCAGUAUGCAGAUAGAAUCAUGGCUGUGGUUAACAGCAUAAGGCUCCUAGGUGAGCACUUUGAUGAGGUAAGAAUCAUGGAGAAAGUCCUCUCCACUUUGCCUGAGAGAUAUGAGGCAAAUAUAUCCUCCUUAGAGGAUUCAAGAGAUCUAGCUAGCAUCUCUUUGACUGAGCUAAUCAACACCUUUUAUGCUCAGGAACAAAGGAGAGCUAGCAAGGUUGAAGACCACCAGAAAGGUGCAUUUCAAGCCAGAGCCAGAGAAGCCUCGAGCACCAAUGCUCAUAGAGGCAAAAAGCCCUGGAAAAACAGGCCUAAGUCUGAUGCUGCUAGAAGCAGUGACCAACCCUGCAGACAUUGUACAAGGGUUGGUCAUCGAGAAGAUAGAUGCUGGUUUAGACCAGAUGCAGUAUGCCAACACUGCAAGAAGAAGGGCCAUGUUGAAAAGGUUUGCAAGAACACAAACAAACCAAGGCAAAGUCAAUUUCAGCAACCAAAGGCUGAAGCUCGAGUGGCUGAAGACAGUAGUGACCAAGAGGAGCAGGUCUUUGCUGUGUCCUGCUCAGCUGCUGAGAAGAAAUGCUCAAAAGACUGGCUACUGGACAGUGGCCUAACCACAUGUCACCAGAUGCAUCCUUGUUCAAAACCUUGGACAGAAGCUGCAAAACCAAGGUUAAGGUUGGAAAUGGUCAGUUUAUAAAGGCUAAAGGAAAAGGAGAUGUGCUAAUAUGCACUUCUACAGGCAACAAGGUCAUCUCAAAUGUGUUAUUGGUGCCUGAGAUUGACAAAAACCUUCUCAGCAUAGCUCAAUUGCUCGAGAAAGGCUAUUUAGUUAUGUUCAAGGACACACAGUGCCAGAUUGCUGAUCCAAGUGGAUCAAGCCUCAUGACAGUUAAAAUGACUGACAAAUGCUUUAAGGUUCAUUGGCCAAAUGACUCAAAGUCAGCAUACACAGCCUCUACAGAUGAUUCCAAGCUCUGGCAUUAAAGGCUUGGACAUGCCAACUUCUGGUUGAUGGCUCGAAUGGCCAGAGAGGGCUUGGUUAAGAAUUUUAUCAACUCAGUGGAGCAUGAUGAUGUAUGUGAAGUUUGACAGAUGAGGAAAUAGGCAAGACUGCCAUUUCCUACAAACUCAGCAUGGAGAGCCACUGAAAGAUUGCAGCUGGUGCACCCUGUUGUAUGUGGACCUAUGAGGACUGAAUCACUUAGCAAAAAUAGGUAUUUCAUCCUCUUCAUUGAUGAUUUUACAAGGUUUUGCUAGAUUUUCUUCUUGAAACACAAGUUUGAGGUAGCUCAAGUGUUUGUGAAGUUUAAAAUUGCUGUUGAGACAGAAACAGGCUGCAAGCUGAAAUCGAUAAGGUUAGACAAUGGCACUAAGUACACUUCAGCUCAGUUCCAAGCCAUUUGUAGUGAUGCUGGUAUCAAACACCAGCUAACAAAUGUGUACACACCUCAGCAGAAUGGGGCAUCUGAAAGGAUGAACAGAAGCCUGUUGGAUAUGGCCAGGUGUCUGCUAUUUGAGAAGAAACUGGCCAAAACCAUGUGGGCUGAGGCAGUAAACACUACUGUUUACCUUCAAAAUAGGCUUCCAAUCAAGGCCCUUGCUCACAAGACACCUUUUGAGGCAUGGUUUGGUUUCAAACCUUCAUUGGCACAUCUAAAGGUGUUUGGUUGUCUGUGCUAUGCACAAAUACCAGCAGUAAAGAGGGACAAGCUUUCAAAGAGAGCUCAGCCUGGCAUUUUAGUAGGCUAUAGCUCAGUCAAGAAGGGCUACAGGGUUUUGGAUCCCUUGACAAGAAAAAUUCAAGUAAGCAAAGAUGUUAUCUUUGAUGAAAAUGCAUGCUGGAAUUGGGAGAAGAAUGAACCAGAAGCUAUUUCAGAAGACUUGGUGCCUAAUCAAGCUGAACUCGAGCAGCUUAGUCCUGAAAUGGACAUUGAUGAUGUACCUGUGAGAGGCACAAGGUCCCUAGAUGAAAUUUAUGAAAGAGCACAGGUUGCUAUGGCAGAACCUACCAGUUUUGAAGAGGCUGAGGCAGAUGAAGGCUGGAAACAGGCUAUGGUUGAUGAAAUCAACAUGAUUCAGAAGAAUCAGACAUAGGAAUUGGUUGAUAAGCCUACUGGAAAGAAGACCAUUGGAGUGAAAUGGGUCUAUCGAGCAAAACAAAAUGCUGAUGGCAAUCUAAACAAGCUGAAAGCUAGGCUUAUUGUAAAAGGCUUCAGCCAAAGGUAUGGCCUGGACUACCUAGAGACUUUUGCACCAGUAGCCAGGCUUGACACAGUCAGAAUGAUAGUUGCCUUGGCUGCUCAAAAUUAGUGGACCAUUCAUUAGCUUGAUGGGAAGUCUGUAUUUCUCAAUGGUUUCCUAGAAGAAGAGAUCUACAUCGAGCAACCUUAAGGAUUUGUAGUCACUGGCAAAGAACACACGGUGUAUAGGCUAAAAAAGGCCUUGUAUGGCCUGAAGUAGCCACCUCGAGUCUGGUAUGCUCAAAUUGACUCCUAUAUGAUCAGUUUGGAAUUCGAGAGAAGUGAUAGUAAACCAACUUUGUAUGUGAAGAAAAAUCAAGCUGAAACUCAGCUUAUCUUGUCACUUUAUGUUGAUAAUCUAUUAGUUAUUAGAGGAGACAAGGGUAUGUUGCAUGACUUCAAGAGAAAAAUUAUGAAAAUGUUUGAGAUGUCUGAUCUAGGCAGAAUGAAUUACUUCCUAGGAAUGGAAGUGAAACAGACUGCAAAUGGAAUCUUUCUCAGCCAGAGUUCCUUUGCUAUGAAGGUCUUAAACAAAUUCUCUAUGAAGAACUGUAAACCAACAAGCACACCAAUGGCAGUUGGUAUGAAGCUAUCAAGACAGAGCAGUGGUGAACCAGUUUGUGAGACAAUGUACAAGAGUCUCAUUGGUAGUCUGCUGUAUUUGACUGCAACAAGGCCUGAUAUUAUGUUUGGUGUUAGUAUGCUAUCUAGAUUCAUGAAUUGCUGCAAUGAUCAGUACUUUCAAGCAGCUAAAAGAGUGCUGAGGUACAUCAAAGGCACCAUUGAUCAUGGUGUGUUGCUCAAAAGGGCUAAAAACAUGAAGCUGACAAGCUAUGUUGAUAGUGACUGGGCUGGAUCAUGUGAUGACAUGAGAAGCACAUCUGGAUAUGCAUUUAGCCUUGGCUCAGGCAUGUUUUGCUGGAGUUCUAAGAAGUAGAGUCUGGUGGCACUGUCAACAGCAGAAGCUGAAUAUGUUGCUGCUGCAUCUGCUGUGAAUCAAGCCAUAUGGCUUAGAAAAAUCUUGGCUGAUUUAAACCAAAACCAAGAAGGAGCAGCAGAGAUCUACUGUGACAACAAAUCUACUGUUGCAAUUGCAAAGAAUCCCAUCUUCAAUGGCAGAACGAAGCAUUUCAAUAUUAAGUUACAUGUUGAUGCGGUUGUUGAAAGCACCAAAAAUAUCCUAUCCCUAAUAAAUAAUGAAAAAGAAUAGUAAAAGGGAAGUAGGGUCAAAUCCUCAAGGACUGGACUUGCAAAAUAUCUUGUUCUGUGAAAUCUCAGGCAGAGUAUUAGCCAAGACAACCUACGUUCCGGGAAAAAAAAUAAAAACAAUAACAGAAUUAAAGGGUUGGAUUUGGAAACGAAAAAUAAAAUAAAAAUAGAAUUAAGAAUAUUGAAUCAAAAAUUAGAAAAAUUAAAAAUAGAGUUGAGAGAAAGAAAAUUCUUAUGGGAGAUUCUAGCCUCCAGUUGUCUCGUUCCACCUUGGGUUUAAUCCUUGGCUUUUAGAUGAUCCUUCUCAAACCGAAUAAGCCAGUUAUAGUGGAAGAGGACGCCUACGACCAUUAACUCCAUGGAUUUAGACUUACGAUGUGGUGGAACCUGACUCUAGCCAACAAUCGCUUCUGUGGGAUCGUCUUAUGCUAGAUCAACGCUUCUCAAUGGCGAAUCCCACGCCAUUUUGUCUCUUUGGCUCACCAACCUCUGACGCAGUAAGCUAACGAACCGACUGUGCAACAUUCCCAAAACAUACAAAGCGGCCGCCUUUGCAUACGUUGAAAAGCUUACUUCUUAAGGGACAUGGACGGAAGCGUCAGCCCCGUAGUGUGGAGAAACGAUGAAUACUCAGUGAGGAGGCUAAGUACGAAUUCUAAGCCUCAUGAACUCUUUUGGGGAUUUUUGACAACCUUGGGCUAGAUGGGUUUAGUGGCUCAUGGUUGUGAUAGAAAAGAAAAGAAAUAAAUAAAUAAAUAAAUAAAUAAAAAGAUUUUAUUAAAAAGAAGAACAAAAGCCUAAACUUUUGGGGAGAGAGUGUUUUCAGAAAAAUAUAGGGAUCCCCUUUUGAGUCACUUCACCCCCUAUUUAUAGUGCUAGGGGAGAUAUUAUAAUCCUACUUAAAUUCCUAAAAGAUAAAUACAUUUAAUUGAAGAUAAAUAAAGAUAAAAUAAAAUCCUAAAAAUAAUCCUUAAUAAUUAUCUCAAUAUUAAUUAUCCUAAUAUAAUUAAAAUAGAGUUUAAUAGAAUAAAAUCUCUUCUUUUUGUAUUUCAACCCUUGUGUCCUCCAUGCUUGCAGUUUUGGCACCAACUUUUCCUUGUGUCGCAUAUUGGCCCAUUUUAUCUCUAAAUUCACGCUUUUGGCCCUUAAUUUCACUUUUGCCUCAAAUUCAGUCCCUAUGAGAUAAAAGAUCAUAAAUAGCUCAAAUUAGCAGGAUCAUACUCAGAAUAAAUACAUAAUUAAUACAUAAAAAUACGUUAUUCUAGAGUGUUAUCAAAUCCCCCUACUUAGCCCAUGCUUGCCCUCAAGUAUGGUUCCUAUCUACUGUGAAAGUUAGAUUCUACCAUAAAAGAAAUACUACUUCAAAGUUUUAUAAAAAUCAGUCAAAAAUGUAUAUGAAAAAUAAAGAAAACCCUAAGCUUGCUUUAAGUAAAAUAAAAAAAGCUUUCCAAUUAAUACACACAAAAAUUAGAAUCGACUUUAAUUAUUUAAUGAAAAUUAGGGAAAUUACCAAACCUACCAAGACACCCUAUUUGUUUCCUCCUUUAGUCCCCAAUAUAUAUAUAUAUAUAUACCACUCUAGAAUAACGUAUUUGAAGUGGUAUUUCUUUUAAGUAUGGUUCCUAUCUACUGUGAAAGUUAGAUUCUGCCAUAACAGAAAUACCACUUCAAAGUUUUAUAGAAAUCAGUCAAAAAUGCAUAUGAAAAAUAAAGAGAACCCUAAGCUUGCUUUAAGUAAAACAGAAAAAGUUUUUCAAUUAAUACACACAAAAAUUAGAAUCAACUUGAAUUAUUUAAUGAAAAUUAGGUAAAUUACCAAACCUACCAAGACACUCUAUUUGUUUCCUCCUUUAGUCCCCAAAUUAUUAUUUUUCUUUUUUUUUGUUUUUUUCUCUUUUUUUUAUGCUUUAGGAAUAUACUGAACCUUUUGACGCGAAGAGAGAUGACAGCCAAGCACCCCACCCCGGUUACUCAGCCCAGCAAACUCCUAAUUUAUUAUAAUUUUUCUUAAGAACACAUCAAACCUUUUGACGCGAAGAGAGAUGACAGCCAAGCACCCCACCCCGGUUACUCAGCCCAACAUGUUCUUAAAAACUAAUUCUGGUUAGCGGAGUUUUACCUAACACGUCACACAACCUUUUGAUGCGAAAUAGGAUGACAACCCAAGCACCCUACCCCGGUUACUCAGUCAGUCACGUUUUUAAACUGCACUCAUAACCACAGAAAUAUUAAACGACAUUUUAAUAAUAACUUUUUUUAUGAGGACUUUAGAGAAAUAAUAAUAAUCAAGUGUCAAAAAUAAGUUUCAGUAAUUACAUUAAUAGUCAUCAACAUAUUUUAGCAUGCAAACAUAUUAAGUGUCCACUUUGUAUUUAAACUUGAUCAAUUUUACGAAAAGCAAGAUAAAGUUAACUUUAUGAAUCACAAUUAUUUUUAGUCUGAUAAGAAUAAAACAGUGGAGAUGGCAUCAAUUAUGGAAAAUUCAUAAUUUUCUCAGAUAACAAGAAUCAUGCUUGUAAGUCAAACCAUAGGCAAUUCUUGGUAAAAAUCUUGGGCAUGAAAAGAGGCAGGAGAUUCUAAAAAAAAUAAAUAUGGACAAAAUGGAGCCUCAAGUAGCAACACCAGCCAAAAAAAAUAAUCACAGCAACAACCAAAAUCACAGCAGAAAAUGAUAGUGAUAACGAAGAGUACCUCCCCCCUACUUAAAGCACAUUGUCCUCAAUGUGGAUGAAAAGAAAUAAAUAGGUAGAAAAGUUUAGAAAAACUCCCCGUGUUGUUACUGUCGAUCGCAAAUGAUGGCAAUGAGCUUGGUCAGUUGCUGGCCAAAAGUUUCAAGUCAGGCCUCAAUGCGCUUUAAGCGUUGCUCAACGGUUUUUUUCGCAUUUUCGCUCUGUUUUAUCUAAGCAAAAGAAGAAAAAUUUAUUAAUAUCCAAAUAAGUAAAAUAAAAUAAAAGAAAGUAAUAAAUAAACUAAAAAUAAAAAUAAAAAUUGGGUUGCCUCCCAACAAGCGCUUGUUUAACGUCGUUAGCUCGACGCCGUUAUUGGUUCUAUGGUGGUUCCAAAUGGAUUUUUUCAACUGUGUGGGCUUGAAAAUUCUCAUAAAACGGCUUCAACCGCUGGCCAUUGACUACGAACCGCUUUCCAGAUUCUUUACUCUCUAUUUCAACUACUCCAUGUGUGAACACUUUAGUAACAAUAAAAGGUCCCUACCAUUGUGAUCGAAGCUUACCUGGGAAUAACUUUAACACGGAGUUAUAAAGUAAAAGUUUUUGUCCUACCAAAAAAUGCUUCUGAGCUAUUCUCUUAUCGUGAAACAACUUUGUCUUGUCUUUAUAAAUGUGAGCAUUCUCGUAGGCAUCAUUGCGAAUUUCUUCUAACUCUUGGAUGUCUAAUUUCCUUGCCUGUUCUGUGGGUUCUAACUCCAACUCUGGUGCCUUUAUAACAGAAGGUAACAAUUUAGUAUUUGAAGAUGAUAACUCGUUAACAAAUUCAAAUUCAUUAAGUUCAGAAUUAUCUCCAUAAAUUGACUCAAAAUUCUCUUCCACCAAAGAGUCAAUUAUGUCAAUACGAUUUACGCACAAGAUUUCGCUUGGAUGGCUAAUGGCAUCGUAGACAUUAAACUUUACGAUCUCCCCAUCAAACUCCAUCGUGAGAGUUCCACUUCGAACAUCAAUUUUAGUACUAGCUGUACUAAGGAACGAUCGACCCAAUAGGAGAUCUGAAGAUCCAGGAGUGCUAUCCUCCUCCAUUUUGAUCACAUAAAAAUCUGCAGGGAAAAUAAGCUUGUUAACUUUUACCAGAACAUCCUUAAGGACUCCUUCUGGAUGCACAACAGACCUGUCUGCCAAUUGAAUGAUAACACCUAUUUUUGUCAAGAAACCCGCGUUAAGUGAUUCAUAAAUAGAAUAUGGCAUUACAUUUAUAGAAGCCCCUAGAUCACACAUAACCUUCUUAAUUCCCAGAUGGCCUAUUUUGCAUGGUAUUGCAAACAUGCCCCUAUCCUUACAUUUUGUUGGCAUUUUCCACUGUAACACUGCGAAUACAUUCUCACCAACAUUCACCCUUUCAUAACCUGUUAAUUUUCGCUUGUUGGUGCAAAGCUCUUCAAGAAAUUUAGCAUACCGCGGUAUUUGCUUGAUGGUGUCCAACAGUGGAAUGUUGAUCUCGACAUUCCUAAAUGUUUCAAGAAUUUUCUUAUCCUCUUUACCUCCUCGAAAUUGGUUGAAUCAUUCUGGAAAUGGAGGUUGAAUUUUAGGAAAUAGAGGCUUCGGUCGGACCUGUUCAUCUUUUUCAGGUUUUUCCUGGGUGAUUUCUUGGGCAAGAUUCCUGUCAGGAAUUGGUUCCAGUACCUUUCCGCUUCGCAACGUCACUGCAUUUGCAUUUUGUCUAGGGUUUGGUUCUGUUUGUGACGGCAGCUUCCCUUGAGAGGUUAAUUUCUCGAUCAAUGUGGUCAACUCUCUAAUGGACGCCUCAGUUUUCUGUUGGAAAUCCUUCAUCUCUUUUUGGAAAUUAAGAUUUUGCUGCUGAAAAUCAAGAACAUUAGUUGCUAACUUAUUGACCAUGGUUUCUAGAAAAUUACCUGAACCUUGCGGUUGUUGCGGAAACUGAUUUUGGUAUGGCUGGUUAUUUCGUGGAUUUGCACCAUAACUUAAGUUAGGAUGAUCCCUCCACCCUGGGUUGUAGGUAUUAGCGUAGGGGUCGUAUUGCCUUUGUGGCGGCCCAGGGAAAUUUUCCACAACAUUCAGAUGGGCCAUGGUUUCAUCAUACAAACUGGGACAUGCAUCAGUUGCAUGAUCAGGUGUAGCACAUAUUCUGCAUAAUCGAGCUGUCUUCACUUUUUCUGCAAUAAGAGAAUUCAUCAUAUUAGCAAGUCUAUCAACUUUAUCCUCUAAGGUUGAAUUACUUAGUUGGUGAACCCUUCUAGGGGGUUCAAUAUUGGCUCGGAACUGCUGAGAAUUUGCAGCCAUCGUGGAGAUCAAGUCUCUCGCUUGUUGGGGAGUCAUGUUGACCAAUGCUCCUCCACUAGCAACGUCUACCAUAUUCAUCUCCAUGGGCUUCAAACCUUCGUAAAAGUAUUGGAGGAGAGAUUGCUCUAUUAUACCAUGUUGUGGACAGCUUGCACACAACUUUUUAAAUCAUUCCCAAUAAUCGUAAAGGGACUCAGCUUCUUUUUGUCUUAUUCUAACGAUCUCUCUUCUUAGCUCAGCUGCCCGAGAUGCUGGAAAAAACCUGUUCAGAAAUAAAUGAGAUAGAUCAGCCCAAGUUGUAAUAGAUCCAGGGGGUAAAUAAAAUAACCAUUCCUUAGCGGAAUCUGCUAGGGAGAAAGGGAAAGCACGCAAUUUAAUCUGAUCCUCAGUUACCCCCUGAGGUUUCAUGCUAAGACAAACCAUAUGAAAUUCUUUCAGAUGCUUGUGGGGAUUUUCAUUUUGUAACCCACGAAAAGUUGGCAAUAACUGGAUUAAACCUGUCUUCAACUCAAAAUCAGUAUCCAUAGUAGGAUACGCGAUGCACAAUGGCAGUUGUUCUAUCAGAGCUUCGGCCAGUUGCCGAAUUGUUUGAGCCAUUGGUUGGUAUGCUAGAUUCGGGUUUUCGUUAACCCUAGCGUUAAGCACUUCUUCUGGUGAGUCGACUUCUACUUUUUCGCUUUCAAGUGUUCGAGUAGGGUUUUCGUUAACCCUAGACUCAGCUUCGUCGUCAACUUCGAUUUUUGGCGGUGGGUUACUUUGAGUUCCAACCACCGCUGACUUCUUUUUUCGUAACUUUGUCUCCUUGCGAUUGGCUCUAGCAGUCUUCUCAAUUUCUGAAUUGAACUCAAGAGUACCUGGAGCAGAUCUGGUCAUAAGAAACAAAAAACAAGAUUAGUACGUUGCCAGUCCCCGGAAACGGCGCCAAAAUUUGAUGCGGUCGUUGAAAGCACCAAAAAUAUCAUAUCCCUAAUAAAUAAUGAAAAAGAAUAGUAAAAGGGAAGUAGGGUCAAAUCCUCAGGGACUGGACUUGCAAAAUAUCUUGUUCCGUGAAAUCUCAGGCAAAGUCUUGCCCAAGACAACCUGCGUUCCUGGAAAAAAAUAAAAACAAUAAUAGAAUUAAAGGGUUGGAUCUGGAAACGAAAAAUAAAAUAAAAAUAGAAUUAAAAAUAUUGAAUCGAAGAUUAGAAAAAUUAAAAAUAGAGUUGAGAGAAAGAAAAUUCUUAUGGGAGAUUCUAGCCUCCAGUUGUCUUGUUUCAAUCCUCAGCUUUUAGAUGAUCCUUCCCAAACCGAAUAAGCCAGUUAUAGUGGAAGAGGACGCCUACGACCACCAGCUCCAAGGAUUUAGACUUAUGAUGUGGUGGAACCUGACUCUAGCCAACAAUCGCUUCUGUGGGAUCGUCUUAUACUAGAUCAACGCUUCUCAAUGGCGAAUCCCACGCCAUUUUGUCUCUUUGGCUCGCCAACCUCUGAUGCAGUAAGCUAUCGAACCGACUGUGCAACCUUCCCAAAACAUACAAAUUGGCCGCCUUUGCAUACGUUGAAAAGCUUACUUCUUAAGGGACAUGGACGGAAGCGUCAGCCCCGUAGUGCGGAGAAACGAUGAAUACUCAGCGAGGAGGCUAAGUACGAAUUCUAAGCCUCAUGAACUCUUUUGGGGAUUUUUGACAACCUUCGGCUAGAUGGGUUUAGUGGCUCAUGGUUGUGGUAGAAAAGAAAAGAAAUAAAUAAAUAAAUAAAAAGAUUUUAUUAAAAAGAAAUAUGAAAAGAACAAAAGCAUAAACUUUUGGGGAGAGAGUGUUUUCAGAAAAAUAAAUGGGAUCCCCUUUUGAGUCACUUCACCCCCUAUUUAUAGUGCUAGGGGAAAUAUUCUAAUCCUACUUAAAUUCCUAAAAGAUAAAUACAUUUAAUUGAAGAUAAAUAAAGAUAAAAUAAAAUCCUAAAAAUAAUCCUUAAUAAUUAUCUCAAUAUUAAUUAUCCUAAUAUAAUUAAAAUAGAGUUUAAUAGAAUAAAAUCUCUUCUUUCUGCAUUUCAACCCUUGUGUCCUCCAUGCUUGCACUUUUGACACCAACUUUUCCUUGUGUCGCACAUUGGCCCAUUUUAUCUCUAAAUUCACGCUUUUGGCCCUUAAUUUCACUUUUGCCACAAAUUCAGUCCCUAUGAGAUAAAAGAUCAUAAAUAGCUCAAAUUAGCAGGAUCAUACUCGGAAUAAAUACAUAAUUAAUACAUAAAAAUACGUUAUUGUAGAGUGUUAUCACAUGUUAUAAGAGAAAUGGAGUAAGCUCAUGAAAUCAAGCUGGUUCAUUGCAAUUCAGAAGAGCAAAUUGCUGAUAUCUUUACCAAGGCACUUAAUGUGUCAAAGUUUGUUAAAUUGAAAAGGCAGCUAGGUGUUAUUAGCAUGGAAACUAAGGAAGAGUGUUGAAGUUAGUUCCCAUACAGCUAGCUGAUCACAAAGGUGGCCAUGCACAAAUGACAAUAAGCAGUCGAGCCAUGGUGUGCAGCAGCUGAAGCUUGAAGUUGCUGAAUUACUUGGUGCAUUUAGUUGUUUUAAUUCUUUUGUAAUUUAGUUCAUGUUGAACUAAGUAGGUGAAUGUUUUGAUGUAAUUUUGAUGUUGAUUGACUGAAAAAUUAGCAAAGUAAUAUGUGCAAGCUAAUCUUGUAAGUUUCAAUGCAUAUUAGUGGUGUUAGGUAGUUGAUUAGGUGAUUACUUGUUUGUUUUUACAAGUUUGCUGAUAUAUGUAAUGGCUUAAUGCCUCAUUCUCUUGUUAAUGAAAAUUAUCAGUUGAUUUCCAUUAAAAUUCUCUCUUUUCUUUUCUGUUUGUCCACUUGCAAGCUUCUUUUCUGUUUUCUUUCUCGUUUGUUUCUUCUCCAAGCCUCGAGGCUUGCUGUCCAAGCAAGACCAAAAGCAGUCUGCUGCUGUCUCUAACACCAACAAUGUUGUUGGAGGAGCUUGGGGACUGCUUGUUAAUGGAAGGGAAUAAGAGAAGUGGGAGGUAAAGGAGAGGGAAACCAGCAACCCCUAAGGUGUACCACCUCCUCUUAGUAGAGUGGAGGCUGUAUUUUUUAUUUAAUUAUCAUUAUUUAACUAGAUCAAGAGAACUCUUGUAUUGAUUCUCUAGUAACCGUAUUUGAGCUAUUUACACCUUUCAUAAACCUCAUUAUUUUGUUGGGAAAUAGUGGUACUUUAUUUUACAAAAUAAAUUCUAAUAUUUUUAAAAAAAUUAUAAUUUAACUGAUUUACAUUGAAAGCAAUUAGAAAGCAAAGAAAAUAUCCUAAACAGAGAAUCUCUAUUGCCUUCUUUAAAAGCUCCUGGAAUUUCAAAUUGCCUGCAUAUAACGAAUUAUAAAAGUUGAAGCUUUUACCCUUGCCCUAUCCAUGCCAUAGAUCCAUUCUUAUUUAUAUAUGUUCACUCUUCUUUAAUUAUUUGUGUAUGUAUGGUGGGUUAUCCUUAAUAGUUGCCAUAGAUCCAUUGUUGAGAAACUAGUGAAGGGCAUGUAGAUUUCAGAUGCCCUGUUCUGAUUUUUCCUUUUUGAGUUGCGUAGAGAAGAAAAAGGGAAAAAAGUGACUUGGAUUAAUUAUCGAGAGGUCCUUAAGUUUUUGUCAAAAAGUCAAAAGAAAGUGUCACAUGGCAUCAUUCAAUUGGCUCAUAUGCCACAUCAACAAUCCGUUAUUGGAUUAACGAAAUGUUUAACGGCAGUAACUAAUUCAAACAAUUAUAUUAAUUAGAAUGUUUAAAUUGAGAAAAAAAGUUUAGAGUAACUAAAAUAGGACAAACUCUAUUUUAAAAUGAUCUUAGGUGUAGUUUACCCUAUACUUUUAUGCUUGUCUAAAAUUACUAAUUAUUUUAGAGAAGAAAUUCAUUAAAGAUUAAGUCGCAAAACAAAAGCAAACACAAAGAGGAGACGAACUACUAAACCCGAGCCAACAGGCUCACCCCAUACACCCGAACCUACUGUCUGAAAUCCUCAUUCUUAUCAACAUAAAACAUGAUUUCAACAUUCUUCAAAAAAGAUGCAAAAGGAAAAGUACGACAUUCCGUAUGGUUUGCAUAUAACAAAGCAGCUCACGCAAGCAAGUGGGCUGCGUUGUUGGCAGUACCACAUCAACGAGUCCCAUUAAAGGACAGACGCUAAAACUAAUCUUUUAGCACCAAACAAUCAUGUAUAGCACACCUAGGUCAAAUGCAUCAAUUAUACAUACUUUUCCCCUUUCAAACCACAUACCCAUAGUAGCCCAAAACGCAUAUAGUUUACCACAAAUAUGGUCUAGCUUUCUAUAGUACGCAAUCCUCCAAGACCUAAUGAAAAAUGAGGGAGCCACUACACCGCAAAAUCCCAUUACAAAGCCAAUAACUAUGCUGACAUAAAGCCAAUUCACUUUACUUCCUUCACUGCUACUUGCAUUAUUCACAACAUCAGUUGAAAAACCUUUUGUACUGCAGUUUUUAGUGAGGGGAGGUCCACAAAGAUGAUUUCCCACUUAAGACAAGUUUUCAAAGCUUUGAAGCUAAGUGCUUGUUGGAAUUUGUCCUGUCAAGUUGUUGUAGGACACAUUGAAGUGGUUCAAGAAAUUCAAUUUGGAGAAACUUGGAGGGAUUUCACCAUUCAAUCGAUUCAUCGACAAAUCAAGAGAUUCCAUCCACUCCAUGUUGCCAAUGGUGUCUGGUAUAUUUCCUGUUAGGAGAUUUCCUAAAAAAUUUAAAGACAAUAGUCCAACGAGACUACCAAUUUGUUUGGGGAUCUCUCCAGUGAGACUAUUAGCUGAAAGGUCUAUGUUGGUAACAAGUCCUAGGGUGCUACCAUAUUCAUCCUCUCGUCCUUUCAACACCAAUAGUGCUUUAAAAUAAAAUGGGAAAUCAAUGACUAACGGCGCAGAAACUUCAUUCUUGGUUUUUUUUUGUGGCCAUUGCACUAAAAUUAUUGAAACAUUUUGGAAUAACUCCUGAAAUGUUGUUUUGGGCAAGGUCCAAGUUCUGAAGAAAUUGAAGAUCACAAAUUUUAUGAGGGAUGUGACCAUCAAAGUUAUUUGAUCGAAGGCUUAGAAUCACAAGGCUCGAGAGCUUAUCACCAAUCCAUGCUGGUACGCAUCCACUGAAAUGAUUUUCACUAAGAUCAAUCAUAAUCAAAUCUCUAGAGUUUUACAAUGUGGAUGUCAAUUCUCCAAACAUGCUAUUGUUCGAAGGUUUAACAUAAAAGGAUCUGUAUAUUCCAAAGUAGGUGGGAUUUUCCCUGUCAAAUUGUUGUUUCCUAAAUUUAAAUAAGCUAAAGUCUCCCAAUGAUUCCAACAAUCUGGAAUUUCUCCAAUGAGUAGAUUUGUAUCAAUGUAAAGAGUUACCAUCCCUCUUAAUGAUGGAUUGCAAACUAAUUCAGAAAGGGAUCCCGAAAAUGAAUUAUUUGACAAAAAUAAAAAUCUUAAACUUGAGGGUACUCUUGGCAAUGGACCUGUAAAGCGGUUUGAACUUAAGUCAAUAAAGUUUGUUACAUUCAAAAAUGAAAACUCUCCAGUAAGUUGAUUAAAGGAAAGAUUUAAAUUUGUAAAUUGAGUGGGAAGGUUUAAAAACCAAGUGGGCAUGACAUCUGAAAUUCCUGCACAGGAGAUAUCCAAAGAAGACAAUUUCUUUUGAAAUUUUAACCACCAAGGAAACUUUGGGCCAAGAUGCCAGUUACCCAAUUCAAUACUUUCACGUUGAAAUGGGGGAAUCCAACUGAGUUUGGUUCAAAUCUAAGCCUAUUGUGUGACGCUGUUAGAGUUGUCAAUCUCGUGAGAUUAGAAAAAUAGGUUUCUAAUACAACUCCUUCAAAUAGAUUAUACUCAAAAGCCAGAGUUUCCAAACUUUCCAAUUGUCCAAAACAUGGAGGAAAUGUACCAUUUAAUUGAUUUUCUGAAACAUCAAAUAACUUCAAAGAUGACAGCUCCCCUAUAGACAAUGGAAUUCGACCAUUUAAUUGAUUUUCUGAAAUAUCAAAGAAUUUCAAAGAUGAUAAGUCCCCUAUCGAUGAUGGAAUGGGACCAGAAAUUUUGUUUUGAGCAAGGGACAAGUAAGAUAGAUUUUUAAACUGCCCAAGUUGAUCAGUUAAAUGGCCAGAAAGUUGGUUAUUGGUCAUAUCCAAUGACUCUAAGGAAUCCAAACAACAUCUAGACAAACUCUGCAGGAUUUCUGAUAUUCCACCUUCAAUUUUAUUAAAUGACAAAUCCAUCUCCUUCAAUUUGCACAGAUAUUCCAGUGAGGUUGGUAAUCUUCCUUCCAACAUAUAAUUUAAAGAAAGAUCAAGGUGAGUAACAGAGCUUAAGUUUCCAAUGGCACUCGAGAUUGUUCCUUGUAACUGGUUACCCCAAAGACUGAGGAACUGAAGACGGUUUAAACUAUACAAGGAAUUGGGUAUGGAUGAAUUGAGAUGAUUCCCACUAAGAUCAAGAACUUCAAGAAACGAGAUGUUCCCAAAGUAAUCUGGAAUUGGGCCUUCCAAAGAAUUGCGACUAAGAUCAAUGGACACAAGACCAUGAAGACUAAAUAUCCACUUAGGUACUGAAGAAAAGCGGUUCCCAAAAAGAUCAAGAACAACCAGUGAUUUUGAAGAAUUAGCAUUGAUCGAAGAUGGAUCAUUGUCUAAACCACAACCUGACAAGUGCAACUCUAACAAAGAAGGAAGUUUAAGUGUUACCUGCACCCAAUCAAUUGCUUUAGAAAGAUCCGCACCACUCAAAUCAAGGUGCUGCAAGGAAGAAAGUCCAGAAACCCAUUGAAGACUUUUUUGUUCGUGAUGAUUACCUCUAAGAUCAAGAUACUACAACUUUGAGAGAUUCCCAAGGUUAUGAGGAAUUGUUCCCUGAAAUUGUGCAUAAGAGAGGUUAAGAUAUGUCAAACUCUCCAGCAAACUGAAAAAUUUCGGGAUAUGUAUGCUGCUAAAACUGUUAUAGCUCAAGUCCAGGGAAUUGAGAUGCUUCAACUCCAGCAGUGAAGGAUUUAUUUUGCCUCCUAGGGCUGAAGGUGAAAGAGGGGGAGCAGCCAAGUGCAGUUGGUUGACGUGGCCUGUUGAGUUAUGGCAGACAACACCAAUCCAUUUACAGCAAUCCCCUCCUUCAACCCAAGAAGAUAACCUGUUUGAAGGAUCAGCAAGAUCAUUCUUGAAUUUCAGAAGAUCUUCUCUCUCACUUUGGAUGCAAAGUAGGUUGGAAUUGGCAUCACAAACGCUAAAACAGAUAGCGGGAAUGAGAAGAAGAAAAGGGAAUAAGGAAAUUGGAAGAGUAGUCAUGGUUGCAAUUGCCAUAUCCCACAACUCCAAAUAUAUAGACUAAGCUUAGCUAAAAAACAAAAAUACAUGAAGCUCAUGGAAGUUUCUUCCAAAACCCCAAAUUUCCACAAAAUACAUUUUAUUGAUAAUAGUCUGUAGGAAAUUUGCUAUCAAGGGAAGUUUCUAAUUAAUUGCAUUAAAAAUUUUGACUUUUUACUAACAAUGAAAAGAGAAGAAAGAUGAAAUCAUCGGAGGAAAAAAAAACUUAUAUUAAUAAUUAAGAUAUAAAGUAACAAAUUUAAUAUGAAUUUCAUUUAUUAAUUUAAAGAAAUAAUUUACUUUUUACUUCUUCCAACAAAAUUUGAGCUUUAGAAGAAGAGAAAUAAAGUUGUCAAUAAAUAAUUCCCACUCCCACGGUAUUUUUGCUAUAUGUUUUGCUAAUAUUAAUCAAUUUGUGGAAAGAGAAUAUCAAUUCAAAUAUGCAUAACGAUAUUUGUGGCCCUUAAACAUUUUUGAAAAAAAAUCAAUUUAGCUCUUACUGUUUUAUUGAGUUCUUAUUUAGUCCUCAAACUUUUAUUUUUUUUGUCAAUUGAAUAAGUUUGGACGGAAAACAUAACAGAGCUAUUUGUUAAUUUAAAGUAAUUGUUGACAUAUAAGCUAUGUGUUUGGAAGGAGUGACUAAGGGAAUGAGCACUCUUUCAAGCACUACAAUAAAAAAGUAAAACAACGGACACAAAGAUUGUUUAUGCAAUUCGGAUUCUGUACGUCAGCUGAUCCUAAUUCAGUAAGAAAUAUUCAGUAUCUUCAACAUUUACAAGAAGUAAUCCUAAAUCUAUCACACACCAAUGACAAUUUUCUCACUUUUGCAUAUUGAAGACUGAUACUCUCACCACUAAAUUGACCCAUUUGAAUUUAGCAAGUAAAACCACAACACAAUUGGUUUCACUAUCACAAUUCACUCAUAAAAUUAAGUUCCACACUUAAACAAACUAUGUGCUAUAUCUCACUCAAUACAUAAUAUAUACAAGUUUCUAAAUUAUAUAGAAUAUUUCAAGACUUGCUAACAUAAAGAAGAUUUAUCACAAUUCUUAUUAAACAACAAUAAGAUAAGCUGAACGCAAUAGGAUAAUAAUAAACAAGGUAAACAUGGACUCUUGACAGCGAAGAAUGACACGUUCCAAUUCAAUCUAAUAUCCACGAUCGAAAGAAUUAUAUAAAUAUGACCAGUUUUGAUCCGAUCUUUCAAUUAUGUUCCCAAGUGAUAUGAUUUUCUUUGAUGGGCUAGAUAUAUAUACAAUCCACAUAAACAAUAUAGACCAUAAUUUUGGUUUAAUAAAUUGCCAAAUUUGUCACACAUAUUCAAAGACUCAAUCAAUCCUUUUUUACUUUUCAUAUUUUUCAACACUAUAACUUGUGUUUGGAUGAAGAAUUUUCAAUAUUUUGAUAUUUUUAAAAUGCUAGAAUUUUAGAAUUCAUAAAUUCAAAAUGUUAGGAUUUGCAAUUGCUUUGUUUGAAUAAAUAAAUAAUUUAGAAAAAAAAUUAGGUUAAUAGAAUUUUAAAAAUUAAAAAUAAUUAUAAAAGAAGAAUAAUUAUAUUAAAAUAAAAAUAUAAAAAAUAUUCAAUAUGGACAUUAUUAGACAAUGUGUAUUAAAUCAAAUAAAAAUUUGGAGGAAUUUUGAAAAACCACCUACAUAAGUGAAAUUUGAACUACUAAAAUUCCAUCUUGAAAUUAUCUAAAAAUUUUGAAAUUCUUCAAAAUAUUUACCUGUACAAAUAAAUUCAUAUUUACAAUUUUGAAAACCUUGACACAAAUGAAAUCUCUCCUAUAAAUUCUUUACCCAAACAUAUCCUUGUGCCACUAAUGCAGGAUAUGCUAGAUGCUAACUUGUCAUCAGCACCACAAUUGUAACACCCCAAACCCGACCUAGACGUUAUGGCCGAAUCCGGGAGUGUUACGAAGAAGGGUUUUGAAACUGUUUUUACUUUGACAAAAACCUUGUGAAGUUAUUUGAUAUAAAGUGUCCAAAUUUUGCAAAACAUAUUCAUUUACUUAUUCAUUACCAAAAUUGUCGUUAUUUUCCAAAACAUAAUUGCAGCGAAAAUCUUAAAAAUCAUUAUAUUUUAGAAAUCUAACUCAUAUUUACAGAAAAACCUUUAUUUUCGUAAACUGUUUCUCACAAUCAUCACAGGAUAGAAAACAACCAAAACCAAUAGUUAAAACCAUACAAUCCAAAGAAUCCCAAAAGUUACAAACUCUCAAAUAAAUCCAAAUUUUUUUAAAAAAAAUCAGAAACUCAAAGGCAGUUUUAAACUAGUGGUCACCCUGAGCCUUCGUCACACUGACCCGCCUAUGUCCGAAGGUUACCUAAACAGAACAGACAAACAGAGGUGAGUUUUUGUAAACUCAGUGUGUAACCCAACAGAGAUAGUCAUGCAAUUUUACACAGAAUUCUCAUAAGCAGAAUAGAUACAAAUAUGGACUUAAGUCCUUAACAGAUUCAAAUAUCAGAAUUAGAUAAUCCAGACAGUUACAUAGAAUCCUACCCUCAUCCUUUACCCACUAUCCCCAUCCAUCCCAUCACACCAUAUGAGGUUAAAAACACCCUCCUAUCCCUACACACCAUAUAAUGUCGACGCGACACAUAACAGAUAAUAUAUAGUCAAGCUGCCAGAAUAUAGGUGUAAGGUCGCAUUACAGAUCACUUCCUCCACAUAUACAAAUCUCAUCCCCACAUACAGAUAUAGAAUACAAACAAUAGAUAUAACAGAAUUACAUGUCUAACAUUCUCGUAUAUAGAUAUCAUAUAUGCUCACACAGACAAUCAGACAUAUACAUCAGUAUCCUACUCAGAUCAGACUAUCCACAUGCUAGAUCUCAUAUAAUAGGGUUUUGUUAGCUAUUACUGACCCUACAGUAGGCCCAUAGUCAAUCGGAAAGACCCGUGCAAUCCUAGGAAAAAUUGUAGAAUUUUGGGUCCAUAUUCCCAUGUAGGCCGACACGCCCAAUUUGGCAUUGCUCGUGUGGGCCACACGGCCUGGCCCAAAACCCACAUGCCUAAUCUGGCCUAGCUCUUGUGGCCUACACGGCCACACAUUCACUUUCACAUAGCAGUGUCUCACGCACAGCCACACCUUCAGCAAUCACACGACCGUGUAUCGUACACGGCUGGCCACACGCUCGAGUGGCGUUGACAGUCCCCCUUUUCAGCUUUUGUCGAACCUCAUUUUCUCAUGUUUUAGGUACACACCUGGUACGAUUUUAAUUGUACUGCAAUCCCGAGCCCACCAGAACCUAAAAAUCAACAUCACACACUCCCACAAUCAGUUUUAAUUCUCAAUUAAACCAAACCAACAAAAUCGACAACGGUGUAAUUUAAGUGUUCAACACUUACCCACUUCCCUGAACGGUUUCGACUAUGAUUUCGCAAGAGGAGAGCCCCGUUCUUUACGAUUCACUGCUACCAAUACCCAAAAUCAACUAACGAAAAGAAAAGAAUAGAAUCGAUGUAGAACGACUUAAGAACAAUUCCCAAACCCAUACGAAAUUCACCCCCUACACUUACCAAACCGCACAACAACACCGAAGAACUGGAAUACAUUGCCAGAAUUCAGAAAGCAAGGGAAAUAGAGGAUUUUUCUAGUUAACAGGAAAAAGAGUCAAAAGUUUGAGAAAUUUUGGAGGAGAGAGAGAAAAAGAAAUAAUAAAAAAAUAAAAUAAAAACAAAAUGACAACAUAUCCCCAAAUUUUCUCCCACUCCCCACUAAACCACAACUACCUCAGAAUUUCGGUUCCACCAAACCUCUAUCAGACACUCGAAGCAAAAAUUAACAUACUUAUUCACACAGGGAUUCAAACACAAAACCUCCAACAAACUAACUCUUUACCACCAGACGAGUAAGCCUAUUCUAAUAUAAAUUUACAAACAAUACUACGUAAGCCUACCUAACAGAGAUAAGGCUAGGAUAAAAAAUAAUAGAAUUUCCAAAGAGUGGGAUUUGAACCCAAUACCUCAUACACAUACCCAAAACACUUAACCACUAAAACAUGUGUUAAGAUUCAUAGAAACAAAAAUAAAUUAUUCAGGGUGUUACAACAAUUCAUAUGUACUUUAUGCUAAUGUAGUAUUAUUUUAUCUCAUAUCUCAUAUCUCAUAUUAGCAAAUAAUUUAAAAAUUAAAACAAAAUGAAAAGUUAAAAUAAAAAGUCAAAAAUAAUUGAAUUUUAUUUCAAAGGGAAUAUAUAUUUUAUUAAUAAAUAAAAGUUAAACUUUCUUUUUCUUAUUAUCAUGAACUUAAUUCUUGUAGAAAAAUAAAACUUUAAAUGAAUCAAAUUAAUAUAUAAUAUAUUAUAAAGACCCCAUAUAUCCAUUGGCAACAGCUAGAAAAUGACAGAAAAAAAAAAUUGGCUAAUCCUAUUUACUACUAUUUUUGUUACUCCUAAUUUGAAGGAUCAAGGAGGAAGAAGACCAGAUCUAUGGCUGCCACGUCUACUCAUUUAUUAAGCUAAUCAACUGUUGGAAUUUACCAAACAACAUUUUUUUGCUGAAAAUUAUUUUCAUUGUAAAUUAUUGAAAUACAACAAAACAUAUUAAUACAUAAUCAAAACACACUUUGAUCCAAUCUCCAGUAAAUUAUACCAACUUUAGACCAACAUGUUUACACAUGUUUUUUUCCCAUCAAACUACAUACCCAUAGUAGCCCAAGACACAUAAUCUGAAUCCAAUGCCCUCCAUCAAACUACAUACCCAUCAAACUAUAUUUAACACUUUUCCAUUUUCAUUGUCUUUUGCCCAUUAACAACCACUUGGUGUCCAUCUUCUUUAUCACAAUCCAAUGCCCUCCAACUUAUAAUCUGAAUAAUUAGAUGCUUUAAAAAUAGUGCCAUGUUCUUCAACUUCCUCUAAUUACCUAUAAUCCAUCUCUGUUUCUUUCUAUUUUGUUCCCUGAAUUUCCAUUUUGCUUCUUUCUCAUAGUUUCAUCAUGCCUGUCAUUGGAGAGACAGCUCUUUCUGGGUUUUUGAAGCUGCUGGUGCACAAAUCACUCAACUCUGCACUCGACUUUGUUGCUGAUCACAAGCAAGUCGACCAACAGCUGAAGCAGUGGCAGUCCAUAUUACUUGAUAUCCAAGUUUCCCCAUGGUUAAAUUUUCAAAAGAAUUUAUCUGUUUUAGAUAUCAAUUUGGGUCAACAGCACACGUCCACCAACUGCACUUGGCCGCUCCUCUUUCACCUUACGAGAUAUCCAAAAUUUCUGCAUCAGAAAUAUCUAAAACAGAUAAAUUCUUUUGGUCAAAUUAUAAUAUUAAAAUUUCUAAAUUAAAAAUAUUCUAAUUUUAUAUACUCUUUUGUAUAUUUAAAAUAUAAAUCCUUAUAUAUUUUUUUAAAUUUAUAUUUAAUUAUUAACACCAUUAAAAUUCUCCUAUUAAAUAUACUAAACAUAUUUUUUAUUCAUGGUGAAUGUGGUAUGAUGGAUGGACUUACAUUGGUGUUUUUCAUGCAUUGGGGGUUGGGUUUUACACUUUCUUCUAUUCAAUAAUUAUUUUAAGACUGCAUUACCCACGUUUUAAGAGUGCAUUAUUCACGUGAAUUAUUUUCCAUCUCUCCAUUUCUUCCACCCACUAUCCUUUUCAACAUUUUGCAUAUUUAAAAUCAAUUUCUUAGUUUUAAUAAAUUAUUUCAACUUAAAAUAUAUCUUAUAUACAUCUAGAAUGUUUCCCAUUGAUAAUCAAAUGCUUAAACUAAGUUGGCAGCAAAGAACUUCUCGGAAAUUUCAAUCAUUCUCAGUCUCGUGCCUAUAAAUUUUGUAUUUAAUAAGUCCGGUAUAUAUUGUACUUUUUCAUAAUUAUAUAAUAAUAAUUUAAUUAUAUGCAUUUAAGGAUUAAAUUGAUAUAAUUUGCAAAUAUGAAUAAUUAAAUUUAUUAAAUUAUUCUGAAUUAGGAUCAAAUUGAUAAAAUAAAUAAGUUUUGAGGAAUAAUUAUGUUAUUAUACCAAUUAAAAAAGAAACAUGUCUUCACUUCCGUUAACCAUUCAACGGAGACUGACAAUAUAGAAUCGAUCUAAAACGUUAUGAUAAAAUUGAAAAUUUAUAUAAUUGGGUGGCUAAUUAUAUAAUUUGCCCUAAAAAAAAGACCUAACAUGAUUUCACAAUAACUAGUCCUAACUCUCAAGUAUAGCUUGGGAUACAUCUAAAAAGAGCCAUAAUAUAUACAGAAAAUAUUUUAAAGAAAAUACCUUGGAGAUGACCAUCCUAGUCACGAAGAAUGCAUCCACAGCGCGCUGGACAAGGUUUGCCCCAAGCCGAUCCAUCGACAUCAAAUUUCAACUUACUGACAGGAGGAGGGGUCCAAGAAACCAAGUUGCGAUAAAUUAUUUUAGGAGUCGAACGAGGUCCUUCAAAGGGAUGCAUCCACCAAUCAAGUUCAGUAACAGAUUCAUGAUCAGAUACCUUAAUCCAAGCAAAGGAUCAAAGUUUACAGAGGUUUAAUAAAGAACCAACAUCCCACCAUUAUUCUUGAAGACCGUCUAGAAGUUUAACACCUUUCGCUGCGCAAACUAUGGAACCAACCCCCAUAUCAAAGCAAUCUCACAAUGAAAAUUGCCCUGUUUGGGAUAAUGCCACUUUCUCUUCUCCAGCCAGUUUCCUGCACAUCAGCUAUAACAUGAAAGAAAAUGAAAAAGAAAAAAAUUAAAAAAACCAUACAUACAUACAUAGGUAGAAGUACCAUACUAAGAGUCGGAUUAUAUUUUGUUAUUUUUACUAAAAACAUGAGCAAAUUAAUUCCUCUACCAUAGAUUAAAGAGCAAACUAGUCAUUUUUAUUAAAAAUUUCAUUUCAUCCAUUUAUAUUGUUAAAGCUAUCGAAAAAAGCUAGAUAAGGUGAAUUUCAAACAAAGAUAGCAACCAAGUAAGACGAGUUUUUUUUUACUAGCUCAUGUUGCUUCAACUUGAUUUUUAUGUAUAUACACUCACUUAAACUCAAAUUUUGUUUAAUACUUUAGCCUUCUAUUUUGACCAUAACCCUUAAAAGAUCUAAUCCCAUGACCAUUCAUAUGAAAAUUUACGUAAUGUAGAUGUCAAAAAAGAAAAAAGAAAAAAGAAAAUUUACGUAAUGUUUUAUAUUACGUUAGCUUUUACAGAAUUAAUCCGAAUUAAUUAUAUUUUACAAAAUAAAAAGUGAUAUUUUAAUGCGCGAUACAAAAAUUUGACUCUAAAAAUUUUAACGAAAAAGUCUGAUCCACCUUGCUUCAAACUCAAAUUUUAAAAAUAGAAUACCAUCUCUAUAUGGCCGAGGUGGAUUGAAUCCCGACAACUUAAAUAGAACUUUUGCCAAUCUCAAUUUCAAAUAUUGGUAUGUGUUUGACAUGAGUAUAUUAAAACUUUUAUAAAUUGUUUCAUAAUGUUAAAAAUUGAAUGUUGAUAAUGACAAUGUAGAAAGAUGGCAAAGAAAAGAAAGAAAAAUAGAACAUAUAGAUUUUAUAUGGAAACCCUUUCAGGAAAAAACUACAGGUAGAUGUGAAGAAAAUUCACUAAUGUCGAAUUCAAAUGAUACAAUAAGAGUUUUGACUAUAUCUAUUUAUAGGUUGAAAAAGUCUUAUUCUAAUCAAUGUAAAAUAUAUUAUGCUGAUAAUUGCUAAUAUAUUAUACUACUAAAUCUUCUAAAAAGAAAAUAUAUUUUGUUUAACUUGACUUGCAAGUAAGAUUUUGUUUAACUUGACUUGUAAGUAAUGUCUUAGAAUUUGAGUCAUAGAACUCUAAUAAUCUCCACCUUGAUAUGAAUUCUCAACAAAUAAGUUCUUCACCAUGAACUUUUAACAAACAAGUUCUUCACCUCUUUCACGAAACCCCUUAAAGGUAUUCUACAACAAUGAACACCAGCCAAGUCCAAAUAAUGCUCGAACAAGAAAAUAUAUUAUGCUUAAACACUCCUUGUUUACGGAUUUUUAUGGAGAGAUAUUGUACGUAAUGCAAGGUAUUUGGGGGAGUAAUUUGUAAUAAUUUGGGUACGAUUUUAAGGUUGCAAUUAUCUAUUAGGAUAGGGUAGAUUAACCUCUAGCCAAUAGUUAUGUUGAAUGAAUUGUUAAAUAAAAUCAUUCAAUGAGUGAUGCUUUACAAAUGUAAGAUUGAUGAAUUCAAAUUGCGCUAACAAAUUUUGUAUGUUGAUUUUUUUUUCACUUUAUCUCUUUGACUCAUGUUUUAAAUUUGUGUUUAUUUCUCUCUUUGCUUUGUUUAUUGCAUUGAUGUGGUUAAACGGUGCUGUCGAAAUCUAAUAUUUUAUGAACGCAUUAAACUUUCACCCAUUAAUUCCAUUAACUCCAUAUCCGAAGUUCUAGUGCAAUUACACUUAGCACACACACGUGCCUGUGAGAAAAAACUUAUUUCUCCAUUUAAUAUGUGACUUCAUAAGGCACCAAGCAGCCAUUCAGUCAAGGGCAUAACACACCCUGUAAUUGGUCCCACCAGGGCAAGUAAAUGUGCAAGUUUGAUCAUCUUUAGGGUAACUAUAUAUAUCGGGGCAUCUUGCCUUGAAGAACAUAGACAAAGUUAGAAUUUUUUUGUCGGAAUUAAAUUAUAUAUUUUUAUAAUAGUAUAAUGUAAUUUUGUCAUUUUAAUAGUUUAUAUUUUUAUAAUUUUUAGAAGGUUAAAUCAAAAUUUUAUCAUUUUUAAGGGAGUCAAAGGGCAAUUUUACCAUUACUAAUUUAAAAUUUUAUAAAUUAUGAAAACUUUUGAAUAACGUAAAAUUUUAAGGGAGUCAAAGUACAAUUUUAUAAAAUGUAAAAUUUUCCGUUUUAGGAGAACCAGACUCUGCUAACCCCUAGAUUCAUCCCUGUUGAAUAACGUAAAAUAACCCGUUGGGCCACAAUUCCCUGAAUUGCAACAAUAUUGAUCGGCUUUGUAGAUGGUGCAAGGGUUAUUGCACACACCUGGGGCUUUCAAUAGAUUAGGGCACUGCCCUACGGUAUCAGCUGCGCAUCCAAAGAUUAUAAAUUCCGAACCUGCUAAAAAAAUAUCAGAAUUUGAAUUUGCCCCUUCUAAAUUGGAACAUUUUCUUAUUAACCAACCAAAGCGAAUGGUUGAACAAUGCUGAAUUGCCUAAGUCAAGGUCUUUUCAGUUUGCUAAGGCAUUGAUUGAAUACUAACAAAGAAUCUCUGUUAUUCUCUCAUUUUCCCUUUGAAAUGAUGGAUUAAACCUAUAAACGUGGAAUAACUGGUAAUUUAUACCAUUUCUUUUAAUUUUUGUGCUUAGUUUUUACUUAAUUAAUGUUUAAGAUAAGAUUUGAAUCCUUGUAACUUGUCUGAGUGGAUUUGUUUCAAGUUUCAUCGGGUUUAAAUAAGGGUGUAAGGAAGGGGUAGAUCGAGUCUCAACAUCCUUCACUUCUACAUUGUUUUCAAUUUUUAAAACUUGUAGUAUUUUUAUACUUAAAAAUUGGGAAAAAAAAAUUAUUUUGAGCCUCAAAAAAUUUAUAAAAAUAUAAAAUUUUAGACAAUGACAUUCGUAUCUAUCUGUAGUAUGGACGAAAUAGCAAAUGAAAAGAGAGAGGAACCUUUGAUCUUAACAAAAAGAAAAAUACUAUUUAUUCAUACAACACAUAUGGUAGACAUGUACAUAUGCACAUAAGCUUAUGCUAUAAGAAUAGUUGAUUUCUUGGGUUCAUAGAUAAGAAGCAAAGCCCUAAAGAGUGAAAAAUAUGGCCAAUACUUUGAUUUAGAAUCUUCAAUCAACUAAGUUAAAUUUCGGAUUUAGAACCUUCGAUUUCAUUGGAUUCCUUUUUCUCUUACUUAUUAUCGUCAAGAUAUUGUUGGUAGAUAUAAAAAUCAAAGCCCCAAAGAGUGAACAACAUUGCCCAUACCUUAAUUGCAUCCAUUUUCUCCUUAUAAAACAGAACACCAACAACUGGAACAAAUGGCAAACUAAGCAUACUCACAGCAUUUGAGAACAAAGAUGACACCAAAUAGAUCAAUCCCACUACUCCCAUUGUACAAAUCUGCCAUGCCAAAUCUGUUCCAAUCAAACUCACUACAUAAAUCACCUUCCUUUAUUCAAAUUUCUCCAUUUCGAACUUUAAAUCCAUGAAAUCCAAACUGAAAAAACAACACGAACAAACAAACAAAACUCGAAACCAAUGAAAUGUAAAUCUGCAUUUCAAACACAACACUAAAUGUGCCCUUUUUCAGUAUUUUGUCAAAUAAGAAAUGUGUUAGAGACAACAAUAAAGCAUAGCAUGCUGAAGCACCAACUAUUGCUAUAAACCCAAUGGUGUAUUCAUUCUUUCCUACUGGAUUUUUCUCAUCUCUUUUGGUCUCAGAACUAUCGAGAUGAAUUGCAACCAUUGAAGCUUGUUGGAAUUUCGAUGUUAAGAAAGGGAAAAUUACGGAGAAGAAACGAGUAAUUUAGCAACAAAACUAUCUGCUAAAGUUUUCAUCUAUUUUCACUCAAAUUUUGAACAAUGAAACAAGAGCUAUUUAUAACAAGAAAAACUCCUAAAUAUGGAAAGAAAUAAAAAAUAUUUUAUGCUAAUAAAUGUAAAAUAUAUUAUACUAAUAAAUACUAAACAUCCUAAAAAAUUAGAAAACAUAAUCUAAAAACAUAACUUGCACGCAAGUUCUUUAAAUCCAAUUGCUAAUUCGCAGCUUCGUGCUUCAAACUGCUCACAUCUUUAUAGCAACCCUAGUUCGCAUUUUACCCAUGACCCCAAUUCGCAUUUUAAAUCUAGUUCACCAAAGUAAUCAACUCAUGAAUUACUGUUCAUUUGUAAGAGCUCGCCACUUAAUGUUCAUUUGAGGUAGCUUCCCAAUCUUAAAGGGUUUGCCAAUCCUGCAUGUUGCAUGAAUGGUCAUCUCGCAACACUCCUCCUUGACCUUCAUAUUGCGAACACUAAUUUUAUCUCUCAGCUUCUCAAACAUUGUCUUUCCAAGUGCUGACAUUUCAAACAUAUUCUCCAUUUGCAACUUAAACUCCUUUACUAAAUAAUUGAUGCUCCCAAUCACAAACAGAUCGUCAACAUAUAAUGAAAUAAUCAGCGAAGUGACUUCGCUAGUUUUCUUCACAUACAUGGUGGGUUCGCUAGGACACUUUUCAAAUCUCAAGCUCGUAAAGUGCUCGUCUAUCCUCGCAUACUAGGCUCGCGGAGCCUGUUUCAAUCCGUAUAAGGUUUUCUUAAGUCUAUAUAUCUUACUUUCUUUUCCUCUAACUGCAAACUCAGGAGGUUGCUCCACAUAGAUUUCUUCCUACAAGUAUUCAGAAAAGUUGAUUUAACAUCCAGUUGAUUUUCCAAAUCAUUUAUGCUGCCAAGGCUAAUAAUAAUCUAAUCGUGUCCAGUCUUGCUACUGGUGCAAAAGUCUCCCAGUAAUCAAUGUCAUAUUGUUGCCUGAAACCUUCCACAACAAAUCUCACCUUCAACCUAUUGAGUGAAACAUCAGCAUUGAGUUUGGUUUUGAAUACCCACUUGACGUCAAUAAACUUUUUGUGCGAUGGUUUGUUAACAAGCUCCCAAGUCUGGUUCUUGUGAAUCAUAUUAAACUUCUCCCACAUGGCUUCUUUCCAGCCUUCUAUGGUUUCAGCUUCUUCAAAGCUCGCAGGUUCAAGUAGUGCUAUGUCAGCUCAAUGAUAGAUCUCAUCAAUUGAUCGCGUUCCCCUUACCGAAGUUCUGUCAAAGUCUGCUUCAAUUAGAUCAUCACCAAAUUGCGAUCCCAACUUACUUCCAUAAUUAUAAUGUUGCAAACCUUAUUCACACUUCAUUUGUUCAAGUAUUCAACUUUAGUAGAAUCCUAAUUCUAUGCUUUUCCUUAUUCGAACACAAUAUCCCUGCUCACAAAAAUUUUAUUAGAGGAAUGAUCAUAAAUUCUAUAACCCUUUUUAUGUCUACUAUACCCAACGAAAAUACCUUACUGCAACCUCCUCUCUAACUUGCUUAUUUUCACAUGUUGCAUAAAAAUAAAACAAACGCAACCAAAAACUUUCAAGUGAGAAGCAUAGGGUUUAUUCCCAAACCAUGAUUCGAAUGGAGUCUUCUUUUUUACAGCCUUGGUUGGUAGCCUGUUCAACAAAUAAAUUGACGUGUUCAGUACCUCAGCCCAAAAUUCUUUUGGCAACUUGUUUUCAAACAACAGACAUUUCAAUAUGUCCAUUACUAUCCUAUUUUUCCUUUCGCACACCUCAUUUUACAGCUGAGUGUAAAUGUUGGUGAGCUGAUGAUGGAUUCCAACUUCUUUAUAGUAGCUUUCAAAUUUAUCAGAGGUGUACUCAGUGUUAACAUUAAUGGGAGACAACAUUAAUGGCAAACAAUACAAAGUGGUGCAAGUUUAGCACCCUAAAUUUGACUUUGAAAAAGUGGCAUGGGAUAAUUUUUUUUUGGUCCUUGAGAUAAUGGGCUAUUUAUUGUUUGGUCCUUAAACCUCAACUAUAAAUAGGCCUUCUCAUUUCUCAUUUCAAUUCAUCCCAACCAAUCUUUCUCUCUUAGUUUUCUCUCUUCUCCCAUUUGAGAAUUCUUAAGGAAUUCUAUUUGUUUGUAAUACUUUGAAGAUAGUAAAGUUAUCAUCUGGUGUUAGUGCCCGAGGACGUAGGUAUAAUUUACCGAACCUCGUUAAAACUCUUGUGUUCUUUCUUGUCCUAUUUUUCUUUCAAUAUUUGAGGGUAUAAUAGUAGUAUUUAAUUGUGCUAUUAAAUUACUAUAGAAGGGAUAUUCUGUCUAAGGAAAGACUUGGUAUUUAAGAGAUCCUUGUGAUCCACCUCUCUUCCCUGGGAAUUGAACUUUGUGUGAUUUUUUAGUACAAUAAUUUACACGCUUCCGACCCUAUUGGAACAACAAGUGGUAUCAGAGCCGAAGGUUAAUCGUAGUAUGCUCUGUGGUUGCAGUUUGAACUGAUCUUCCACAUCAGAAAAGAUUUCCUUAGGUAUAUUGAAAGAUUAUGGAGAAAACGGUCGGUGUAGGAGCUUCAACAUCGUCCAUGUGGACAAGACCGACAAUUGCAAAUGCAAGAUUGGCCGUGGAGAUCUUUGAUGGCACGGGCCAUUUUGGUAUGUGGCAAAGUGAGGUUCUAGAUGCCCUUUUUCAGCAGGGUCUAGACAUUGCCAUUGAUGAAGAGAAACCAGAUGAUGUACAGGAGAAAGAUUGGAAGGCGAUCAAUCGGUUGGCAUGUGGCACAAUUCGAUCAUGCCUUUCUCGAGAGCAGAGGUAUGCUUUUUCAAAGGAGACUUCUGCAAAUAAGUUGUGGGUGGCACUUGAAGAAAAAUUUUUGAAGAAAAACAGUCAAAAUAAGCUCCACUUGAAGAAAAGACUGUUUCGCUUCACAUACGUCCCAAGUACCACAAUGAAUGAUCACAUCACCAAAUUUAAUCAGUUAGUCACUGAUUUGCUGAAUAUGGAUGAGACAUUCAAAGAUGAAGAUUUGGCUUUGAUGCUGUUGGGGUCACUUCCUGAGGAGUUUGAGUUCCUAGAAACUACUCUACUUCAUGGCAGGAGUGAUAUAUCUCUGAGCGAAGUCUGUGCGGCCUUAUACAGUUAUGAACAGAGAAAGAAGGACAAACAGAAAAACUCAAUCAGAGAUACAGAAGCUUUACUAGUCCGAGGUCGUUCAUACACUCGGAAGAAAACUCAAAAGGGGAGAUCAAAGUCAAAGUCCAGACUCGGGAAAGAUGAAUGUGCUUUUUGUCAUGAGAAAGGCCACUGGAAGAAAAAUUGUCCAAAGCUGAAGAAUAAGGGAAAAGCUGCUGUAGAUGCUUGUGUUGCUAAGCAUGAUACUAGUGACUCUGAACUAUCACUGGUUGCAUCAUCAUCGUCGUUCCAUUCAGAUGAGUGGAUAUUGGAUUCGGGUUGUACCUAUCAUAUGUCCCCUAACCGGGAGUGGUUCUCUGAUUUAGUAGAACUAAAUGGAGGAGUUGUUUAUAUGGGCAAUGACAAUGCCUGUAAAACUGUUGGGAUAGGUUCAAUCCAAUUAAAGAAUAAAGAUGGAUCAACCAGAGUUCUGACUGAUGUUCGGUACGUGCCCAGUUUGAAGAAAAAUCUCAUCUCAUUGGGAGCCUUGGAAUCCAAUGGUUCAGUUGUUACUAUGAGAGAUGGGGUUUUGAAAGUGACAUCUGGCGCACUUGUGAUAUUGAAGGGCAUCAGGAAAAAUAACUUGUAUUACUACCAAGGUAGUACAGUUAUUGGAGCAGUCGCUGCAGCUUCCGGUAACAAAGACUUGGACUCAAUGCAGUUGUGGCAUAUGAAGUUGGGACAUGCCAGCGAAAAAUCCUUGCAAAUUCUGGCAAAGCAAGGAUUGUUGAAAGGUGUAAAGGCUUGCAAAUUAAAAUUUUGUGAGCACUGUGUUCUGGGAAAGCAAAAGAGAGUGAAAUUCGGCACUGCUAUCCAUAAUACAAAAGGUAUUUUGGAAUAUAUUCACUCAGAUGUGUGGGGGCCUUCCAAAACACCUUCAUUGGGAGGAAAACACUACUUUGUUACUUUUGUUGAUGACUUUUCCAGAAGAGUUUGGGUGUAUACCAUGAAAACUAAAGAUGAAGUGCUUGGAGUUUUUCUUAAAUGGAAAACUAUGAUCGAAAACCAGACUGGCAAGAAAAUCAAGCGGCUUAGGACGGACAAUGGAGGGGAAUAUAAAAGUGAUCCGUUCUUCGAUGUGUGCCAAGAGUAUGGUAUUGUUCGACACUUCACAGUUAGGGAUACACCACAGCAGAAUGGAUUGGCAGAGCGUAUGAAUCGAACAUUGCUGGAGAAAGUUCGAUGUAUGUUGUCCAAUGCUGGGUUGGGCAAGCAAUUUUGGGCUGAGGCUGUGACAUACGCUGGCCAUCUUGUUAAUCGUUUGCCAUCAUCUGCAUUAGAAAGAAAAACUCCUAUGGAGGUAUGGUCUGGAAAACCGGCUACAGAUUAUGAUUCCUUACAUGUGUUUGGAACCACUGCAUAUUACCAUGUGAAGGAGUCAAAGUUAGAUCCGAGGGCAAAGAAAGCUCUCUUUAUGGGAAUCACUUCUGGAGUGAAGGGAUUUCGUCUUUGGUGCUUAAGCACAAAGAAAAUGAUCUGUAGCAGAGAUGUUACCUUUGAUGAAUCUACCACAUUGAAAAAGGUAGCAGAUAAAGAUAUUCAGACGAGCAAUACUCCACAGCAGGUGGAGUGUACUCCAAAACAGGUGGAGUUUGAGCAGAUGGGGAUUUGCCCAGUUAAUAAGUCUAAUUCUCCAGCCACAAUGGAGGAAUUAGAGGUUGAAGAGGUUCUGACCCAAGAACCACUAAGUACACCAGAACCAGUUGCAGUUGUAAGGCCACGGAGAGAAAUUCGUAAACCUGCUCGAUUUACUGAUAUAGUGGCCUACGCCCUUCCCGUUGUUGAUGAUAUUCCUAUCACUUAUCAAGAAGCAAUGCAAAGCUUAGAAAGUGAUAAAUGGAAAAGCGCCAUGGAUGAAGAAAUGCAGUCUCUCCGGAAGAAUAAUACUUGGGAGUUGGCGCAAUUACCGAAAGGUAAAAGGGCAAUCGGAUGCAAGUGGGUAUUCGCAAAGAAAGAUGGAUCUCCUAGCAAGAAGGAUAUUCGCUACAAGGCAAGAUUGGUAGCUAAAGGCUACGCUCAGAAGGAGGGAAUUGACUACAAUGAUGUAUUUUCCCCUGUUGUGAAGCAUUCCUCCAUUAGAAUUUUGUUGGCCUUGGUAGCACAGUUGAAUUUGGAGCUAGCUCAACUUGAUGUUAAGACGGCUUUCUUGCAUGGUGAGUUAGAAGAGGAGAUCUAUAUGACUCAGCCAGAAGGAUACACAGAUGCUGGUGGUAGAAAUUGGGUUUGUAAGCUUAACAAAUCGCUAUAUGGAUUGAAGCAAUCCCCGAGGCAGUGGUACAAGCGAUUUGAUAGCUUUAUGAGAAGGCAGAAGUACACAAGAAGCAAAUAUGACAAUUGUGUAUAUUUGCAGAAGCUGCAUAACGGAUCUUUCAUUUAUCUACUCUUGUAUGUUGAUGAUAUGUUAAUCGCUUCGAAGAGCCAAAAUGAGAUAGAUAAGCUGAAGGCUCAGUUGAAUCAAGAGUUCGAGAUGAAAGAUCUAGGUGAGGCCAAGAAGAUUCUCGGCAUGGAGAUAAGUAGAGAUAGACCGAGAGGCAAGCUCUGUUUAAAUCAGAAGCAAUAUCUGAAAAAGGUAUUACAAUGUUUUGGUGUAAAUGAAAACACAAAACAUGUAAGUACCCCACUUGCUUCUCAUUUGAAACUUAGUGCUCAAUUAUCUCCGAAGACUGAAGAUGAAAGAGAAUAUAUGGCGAAAGUCCCAUAUGCUAAUGCAGUUGGGAGUUUGAUGUAUGCGAUGGUGUGUACGAGGCCUGACAUUUCACAAGCUGUUGGAGUUGUGAGCAGGUAUAUGCAUGAUCCCGGAAAAGGACAUUGGCAAGCUGUGAAAUGGAUUCUACGGUAUCUUCGAAAAACCGUAGAUGUUGGUUUAAUUUUUGAACAGGAUGAAGCACUUGGUCAGUUUGUAGUUGGAUAUGUUGAUUCCAACUUUGCUGGUGAUUUAGAUAAACGUCGUUCAACUACGGGGUAUCUGUUUACUCUUGCGAAAGCCCCAAUAAGUUGGAAGUCUACCUUACAGUCUACAGUAGCUGUGUCUACUACAGAGGCAGAAUAUAUGGCAGUUACAGAAGCUGUUAAGGAGGCUAUUUGGCUUAAUGGAUUGUUGAAAGACUUAGGAGUUGUUCAAAGUCACAUAAGUUUAUAUUGUGACAGUCAGAGCGCUAUUCAUUUAGCGAAAAAUCAAGUCUAUCAUACAAGAACCAAGCAUAUCGACGUAAGAUAUCACUUUGUGCGGGAAGUCUUUGAAAAAGGAAAAAUUCUACUUCAGAAGAUUCCGACAGCAGAUAAUCCCGCAGAUAUAAUGACCAAGGUGGUAACAACAAUCAAGUUUAAUCAUUGUUUGAACUUGAUUAACAUCCUGAGAAUUUGAGCACCUUCAGGUGUAUGGCGCCCGAGAGUGCAUUUGUAGGCACUACAAAAGAUAGCUUUAUCGAAUUUGGGGAGUUGAAGGAAGUGUGUGAAGAUGUGAUUAUCCUAAUCAAAUCUUCAAGGUGGAGAUUGUUAACAUUAAUGGGAGACAACAUUAAUGGCAAACAAUACAAAGUGGUGCAAGUUUAGCACCCUAAAUUUGACUUUGAAAAAGUGGCAUGGGAUAAUUUUUUUUUGGUCCUUGAGAUAAUGGGCUAUUUAUUGUUUGGUCCUUAAACCUCAACUAUAAAUAGGCCUUCUCAUUUCUCAUUUCAAUUCAUCCCAACCAAUCUUUCUCUCUUAGUUUUCUCUCUUCUCCCAUUUGAGAAUUCUUAAGGAAUUCUAUUUGUUUGUAAUACUUUGAAGAUAGUAAAGUUAUCAUCUGGUGUUAGUGCCCGAGGACGUAGGUAUAAUUUACCGAACCUCGUUAAAACUCUUGUGUUCUUUCUUGUCCUAUUUUUCUUUCAAUAUUUGAGGGUAUAAUAGUAGUAUUUAAUUGUGCUAUUAAAUUACUAUAGAAGGGAUAUUCUGUCUAAGGAAAGACUUGGUAUUUAAGAGAUCCUUGUGAUCCACCUCUCUUCCCUGGGAAUUGAACUUUGUGUGAUUUUUUAGUACAAUAAUUUACACGCUUCCGACCCUAUUGGAACAACACUCAGUUCCAUUAUCAGGCCUGAUCUUCUUCAGCUUGCUUUCGGUUUGGUUCCGAACUUUUACUUUAAAUUUCCAAAAUACUUCAGCUACGUCAGUUUUUUUGUUUCAAAAUAUAAACCCAACAAUACCUGGUACAAUCGUCAAUGAACAAGACAAAGUAUCUACACUCAUUUAAUGAUGAUAUUUUCAUAGGUUUGCGUACAUCAGAAUGAACGAACUAUAAAUUUUCAAGAGCUCGCCAAGUUUUGUUUGUUGGGAAUGGUAACCUCGUCUGCUUCCCAAGUUGACAUACUUCGCAGAUGCCACUUUGCUCCUCAAUACCGAUUAUUCUUCAACCCAACUUGCCUCACAUGUUCAACUUAGGGACUUAUAGUUCACAUGUCUCCAUAUUUUGUGCCAAAGGUUCACGUCAUCUACAGAACUGGUAUAGGUUUUUGGGUUCGCCAAAUUCCAGUCUAACAUAAUUUCUAUUUUUCAUCGAACCUGUUACAACUUCCUAUCCCAAUAAAUCAAAUAUAAUGCAACCACAAUUUUUAAAAGCCACGUUAUAAUUUUUCUUAAGUAGUUGACCAAUGCUAAGGAGAUUUUGAUCUAUUGCAAGUACUCAUAGAACAUCUAAAAUUACUUUAGUACCUUAUGGCAAGCUAAUCACCACUUCGCCUUUGUCCUUAAGUUCUAAGAGUUCGUCAUUACCAAUCCUCACCUUAAGAUCACAACUUCUAUCAAUUUUCUUGAAGAUGAUUUCAUCUGAGGCCAUGUGGUUGGUAAAUCCACUAUCAAUCAACCAAUCUUUCGCGAAUCUAUUUUUUGAUGCAGAAUAUGUGGUUGUGAACACUUGCUCCCCCUGAAUAUGAUCGCUUUUAGCUGUGAGUGUGCACAUUUUAUUACCUUUUCUUUUUGCAUACCUUCUGCACGUGUCUCAACUGCUUGCAUGAUAUGCAUUUUAUAUCUGGUUUGAACCAAAAAUAUUUCUCCAGGUGAGUUUUUCUCUUGCAGCGCGAGCAUGGAUGAUAUUUCUUUUUCCACCAUCUUGCAUCAACUUCUAUUUCAUCUUUGUCCAACCUUUCUUACUCUUAUGUUUCUAGGGUUUCACACUUUCAAUACUCAAGGCUAGUAAUGCUUCUUUUGUGUGUUCCUCUUGCCUUGAUGCUCUUAUUUGCUCUUGAACAUAUAGGGCAUUUAUCUACUUUGGAAAAUAAGUGGCUAAUAGGUCCCUUAAGUAUUCAAUUUGUUGGAACAUUUGGCAGCAAACACCAAACAGAUUUGCAAACAGAAGCAAGAAGAAUCGAAGCAAAAAGAAAAGCAAAACAAAAGCAGUGAACAAAGUUUGAAUACUCAAAAAAUUGUAACUGAACAUUACCACUUUUUCAUUCAAAUUUGAAAUAUAAAAGAAGUUACAAUGUACAUUGACAGUUACCUAAUGUAUUUAACUGCCCCAACUAAUACAAACCUAGUUGCUAGCUAAAAUUAAUCAAAUAUAGCUGACCAAUCAGCCAUUACAUCAAAAGAUCUUAUCACUAACUUAACUUCUACUAACAUUACAAGCAAACUAAGAUUGAACUAGACCAAAUUACAUUAAAACAAAACAGCAAUGUUGGUUGCUUCAUUCGGUCCAAAAAUCAUUCUUGCGCACCAAGCAAAAUGAGCUGAGCUCUGUAGGUGCUGCUGGUCUCGACAGUAGCUUACUGCUGGCUUCAUGUUGCAUUGCAGUCCAGCUCUCAACACAAUUGAGGAAAUCUUAGAUUCAUACCCCUCAGGAAGUGUUGUAAUGGCCUUCCCAACGACAAUGCUAUCUGCGAAUUGUUCCUCAAGUAACUUGAUGUUAUUAACUACCAGCAUAAUUUUGUUUGCAUAUUACUUCACUGUUUCAACCUCCUUCAUCUUCAAAUUCUCGAAAUCUCUCUUGAGAUUAAUGAGUUGUUGCUGUUUGGUCUUGUUUGAAGCUCCCUUUUAGCUUAUUUCAACCUUGUUUUAGAGUCUCAUGUGCCAUAAUACGUGUGAAUAUUACAUUUGAGAAGUCAUUCUGAAUGCAGGACAUUGCCUUUUUAGCUUGCUCGUCACUUUGGUGCUUGAUUUGAGCGACUAUUACAUUGUCCCUUAAUAGUGUGAGCUCGAUAUCAAUAUUCACAACCUCUUACAAGUCAUAAGUUUGCAGGUAGGUCUUCAUCUUAACAACUCAUAUAUUGUAGUUUUCACCAUUAAAGACUAACAGUGAAGGUGGACAAAAGUUGCAGAAUGCAUGUUUAAUUAAGAAAGAAGCAACAAUUACCCUUCAGAAUAGAAGUUCUGAUACCGAUUAUUGGAAUUUCGAUGUUAAGAAAGAAAGAAUUGCAGAAAAGAAACAAGUAAUUUAGCAACAAAAUUAUCUACUAAAGUUUCUAUUUAUUUUCACUCAUUUUUUGAACAAUGAAACAUGAGCAUUUAUAACAAAAAAAAAUUCUUAAAUAUGAAAAGAAAGAACAAAAUUUGAUGCUAAUAAAUAUAAAAUAUAUUGUACUAAUAAAUACUAAAUCUCCUCCAAAGCUGGAAAACAUAACUUGCAAUCAAGUUAUUUAAAUCCAAUUGCUUCGUAACUUCAUGCUUCAGUUUGCUGCAUCUUUACCAUGACCCUAGUUCACAUUUUAAUUCUAGUUAGCCAAAGCAAUGAGCUUGCCAAUCACUAUUUAUUUGUAACAGUUUGCCACUUACUGUUCAUUUGAGGUUGAACUUGAAGGUUGUUUUGUGAUAUCAAAUUCCAAGCUAUCAUUCCCUCGUCUAUCAAUCUCUUUGCCAUUUUUAUUUGAUGCCUUAGAGUAGGCAACAACUUUUUCAAUUAGCAAAAGGAAAAGAAAAUUCAACAAUACUCGAUAUAGAUCUGAAGAACAAUUGACAGUGUUGUAUAUUUUCCCUAUAUUCACAAUGUAGAGAUACCAUGAUAGGUACUAUUACAUUCCUCGUUAUAACCAAGCAUGAAUACAAUGAUCACUAACAACGAUGUCUGAAAGCAAAGCAUUGUAAAUUACCUAUGGUGAGAACAUCCGGAGUACAUGGAAACCUGCUCUACUAAUCCUGAAAUUUCUUCAUCCGAAACAGUUGUUGAAAUUUCCAUGAGCAAAAGAGACCUAUCAGUCAAGCCCCCCGGGCAGUACCUAAAAAUUGUUACAUCCGGAGCUGAAUGUCCCCUGCAUGACACAGUUAUUAAAGCAGAACCUCGGGCCCCGUGCUCUCUGAAUCGGAUAGGGAAGUAUUCAUUUCUUCAAAAUUCUCAGGCCUUGCCUCCAAUCUGACCCAAAACCAUUCUCAACCAGAUUGUAAAUGGUGAUGCAGUUGUUUAUAGUUCAAAAGUGAUUUAAGAUCCUCUCGUAUUCAUGGUCAAUAAAAACAUAACAUGAUGUUAUGAGAAAAGAAAAAGGAGAGGAAUCUCUAUAUAUACCUGAUUCUGCUUCGAGGCAAGAGAAUUGCAUUCAUUCUUCAUUGUGUUGGUCAACUGCAGAAAUCUUUGCUUCUCCCAAUCUAACCCUCUUUGAUGUUGGACUGAGUUUUGCUUCAUGUACAGUAUUGUGUUUAGAUUCACAAGAACUAUCAUGUAAGCCAAAUGGUUGAGAUCCAUUGACUGGAUGAACUGCUGAGAUUUUAUUCCAAAUAAUAGUAGAUAUCCUUGGAGUACCAUCGCGAGAGAUGCAUCGAAUUGAAUGGGAGAAGUCCUCAAGGAAACAAUAUCCCUCCAACUUGAUAUACCAAACUUAAAGCAGAACUGCCUAUUAUCAUACUUGGACGAGAGCUGAGAUAAAAUCAGAAGCAGACCAUGGUGAAUCCAAUAUGUGAAUCAAUAACAAAAAAAACCCAAAAAUGUUACAGAAAGUCAAAUUCUCGUAGCAUAUAUACAAUUAAAUAUGUUAUGUUUAUAUUAUACUUUGCGUAAACUACAUUUAAGGUCACUCUAAAAUAAAAUUUGUUCUAUUUUGGUAACUCUAAAUUUUUUCUCAAUUGAGAUAAAAACUUUGCGGACCUUUCUAUAAUUAAUCCAAAAUAUUUCUUUUCCUUCUCUCCUCUCUGUAACUCAAAAUGGAGAAACCAAAACAGGGCAUCACAAAGCUACCUGUCUUUCACCAUUUUCUCAACAAUAAAUCUGCGGCAACUACCAAUGAUAACCCAUCAUACAUCCUCAAAUAAUUAAAGAAGAAUAAACAUAUAUAAGUAAGAAUUGAAUGAAGAUGUUUUCAAAGAUUUAUCAUUGAAUUGGUUCAAUCGACUCGCCCAAAUUAUAAAUGCUAAAGAAAUAAAUUACAAGCAAUUGAACGAAGAUGGUUUCAAAGAAAAGACACGACCUAUGCUACCCUCUAUGAAUGUUGACCAACACCAAAAGAAUUCACUCUUAAUCGCCACGAAUGUUCAACCCUUAACGAAAAUUGUUUCAAUUUAUGUAAUUAGAUAAUAUUUUACACAAAACAUUAACACAAUUCCUAAUGAUUUAUAUAAUUAAAUAAUAUUUUGUCUAAUUAAAGCUUAGUGAAAGCUUAUUCUAGAAAUUACAUCCUAGGACUCCACUAUUUUUGUGACUUAGAAUUGUAUUUUUACUAGAUUUGGGGCUACGUUUCGCUGUGGCUUUUUCUAAGCAUAUUUGAAACAGAAACAUAUAAAUAUGAAUGGUGGAUGAACUUGAAAGGAAUUUAUGCAAUGAUAAUUGCUGUCGAAAUCUUUUUGAGAUCGUUUUGAAAUUGACUUUUUAUUUUUAAAAAAAUGAAAAUGGAGUCGCCACCAAUCACUUUCAGGAGGUGUGAUCGGGCCACCUCGUAAUUUGAUCAUUUUAAUAAGAGGUUUGAUUUACUAAAAAAAUGUUUUUCGGUCUACAAAAAUCCAAAAAAUGGGUUCAGGAGUUGGUUAUGCACGAGGAAGGAUUACCACCCUCGUUACCUCCAAAAUUGGUACCCAAUUGAUUACUUGAUGUCUUAAUGUCGAAAAUUAAAAAUUUGAAGAGAAUUUAAAAUACGAUCCCUUUGUAUUAAGAUAUUUUAAUAUAAAAGACUUUAUUUUGAAUUAAUCGAGAAGAAGGAUCAUGCCCCGUGAGUUAGGCCAUGACACCUUUAGUUUACGAAAACCAGAAUAAUUAUCGUUCAAAUCGUUGCUUAAAUCUCGUUUUUAUAUUUUUGAAAUGGAUAUUCAACUAUUUUGGUUUUAGAAAGAAGCCAUAUCCCGUAAGUUAGGAGCACGACUCUUCUAAUUCCAAAAAUAAUGAACAUUGCCGUGGUUUAAAAAUUUUAUUUUUUAUGCAUCAUGCGAAUAAACAAACAUAACACUUAAAACGAUAUGCAUUUAAUUUAUUUGGGCAUAAUAUACACAUGGAUAAAUGCUUAAACUUAAUGUAUGAUAUAUUGAUAAUGAAAUAAUUUAAAAUGGUUAUGUGGGUAAAAUGAUAAAUAAAAAGUAAAUAAAGGAAUAUUAUAAUAAUGACAUAAUUAUAAUAAUAUUAAUAAGCAUAUUAUAGUAAUUAUAAAUAAAUGAAGUAAUUUAAGAUAAAUAAAAAUGGAAAAUGCAUGAUUAAAAAGAUAAAUGGACAUGACAUGAAAGUGCCGAAAAUAAUAGGAGAAAUAAUAAAAUAACAAGAGCACACUAAAAAUAAAAUAAUAAAUGACAAUAAUAAACAAAAAUUGUACCAAUAAAAGCAUGUAUACAAUCUAAUUUUUAAGGAUGUAUAAAAAAUAAAGAGGUAAUAAAUAAAUAGAUAAAUAGAUAAUAAUAAAAUAGUAAUAAUAAUAAUAAAGACACAAAAGAAGAAAACAAAAGAAAUAAAUAAUCGAUAAAAGAAAAUAAAAAAUAUAAUAAAUAAAUGAAUAAAAGGAUUAAAAUAAAAAAUAACUGAAUAAUAUAUAAAUAGAUAAGUAUAUGAGUAAAUAAAUGAAUAACGUAAAAGGAAUAAUGAAUAAAUAAAUAAGCGAAUAAGUAAAUAAAUGAAUAAAAGAAUUAAAAUAAAAAGGACUUAAUUGCAACUUAAAUGAAAUUAAAAUUGUAAAUCGGGACAAAAUAAAUAAUAAGGGGCUAAACUGUAAUAAAAUAAAUUAAUAAAUAAAGGACUAAAUCAAAAUUUAAAUGAAAUUUAGGGGGCUAAAUUGUAAAUAAAAAUAAUAAAACAGAAUAAAGAACCAAAAUGAAAUGUACGAAAAGAAAUAGGGACUAAAUGGGAAAAUAUCCCAAACCUUAUUAAACCCACCGUUUCUUUGGCAAAUCAAGGGGAAAUAGGACCAAUUGAAAGGCAUUUAAAAAUGGAAGGACUAAACCGACAAAUAUCCCCCAUACAAAACAUGCGGAUCAUAGGGAUGGUUCUGGUCAAGUCAAUGGGUUGACUAAAACGACAUCGUUUCAGGUACCCACCUCUUUAAAUGGUCUAAGGACCAAAAUGAAAAUAAAAUAAAAUAAAGUGGAAAAAAAAAGAGAUAUGACUAGAUUGAAACAAACCGCAAAAGCGGAAGGACCAAGGCAGAAAUUAGACCCCCUUUUAAAAACACGCGGAUCCUGCUAGGGUCGGGUUGGCAGUUUUUGGCUUCAAAAUGACGUCUUUUUGGGGCACGCCGGCCAAAACGAUGUUGUUUAACCUAGCCUAUAUAAACAAAAAAAUUAUUAAAAAAUUCAUUAUGUUUACUAUUUUUAAAAAAAAAUUUGAAAACGUUUUUUCUUUUUUUUUUCUCUGAAAGGGGUCUGGGUUCGGCCAUUGGAGCUACCCACCGCGGCCACCGGCCAUCAGCAAUGGUGACUGCCAUCUUCGGUGGCUGAAAAAAUCCAGAAAAUCCCUGUUUAAUCCCCUUUUUUUUUCUUAAAAACCUCAUUUUGGGAAAAAAAGGUCAAAACAUUAGAGAAAUUGGGCCGACGGUCAUGAAACCUUUCGGUUUUUCUUCCCUCCGGCGAAGCCUUCAACUAAGCCCUAGGGGGACUCUAAGGCUUCUCGAGUCGGACACGGGCCUCCGACGACCGAAAACAGGUAAGAAAUCUUUCCUUUUUAUUUUUAAUCUUAUUUAUUACGAAAAAAAUAAAAAAUCAAAAAAUUACCUUUUAACUUUUUCUUUUCUGUUUUUUGUUGCUUUUUCGUCUCAUGGAGGCAGUUGACGAUGACAGACCUCGAGGCGCGAGCUUGUUGACGUGGGUGCGGCCCAAAAGGGGGCUAGGGUUUCUAUUUUUUUAAACUGUUUAGGUUUUUGGCCAUUUGGGCUAUUAGGGUUUUUAUUAUUUUGGGCCAUUUAGGCCUGUAAAUUUGGGCUUGACAUUUUCUGUAAUUGGAUUGUUUUGUUUUUUUAGUUUGGACUUUUUUUUGUAUCAUUUUUGUUUAAUUUUUCAUUUUAUUUGUUUGUAAUCUGGGCCUGGGCUAAAUUGGGUUAUUCACUUAUAACAUUCAUAGUGUAUCUUAUCUUAACCUUGAAUGGAUGAUGGGUUAUAUAUGUGUGACUUGUUUAUUUUGAUUUAAAUGAAAGCUUGAAUUCUAAUUAUAGAUAAGCAACUAAAAGUUGAUGCGUUGGGUGUAUACUUCUACAUUAUAUAGCUUCUUCCAUAAUAGUGGAAUUUAUAAUCAAAUAAAUGGAUCCUCUUAUUGACAUUACAUGAUAGAUAGAAAAAUAAUGUUGAAGUUAGGUAGGAAAUUAACGUUGUAUUGGCAUUAGAGGUAAAAGUCAUAUAGGAAGAAACUUCCAAAAUUCCAAAUUCCAAAUUCUUAAUUAUCCUUUGUGGAAUAAUCUACAAAUUAAUGAUUCUAUGCCGCUAGAUGAUAUGAGAUCAUUUAUGAACAAUGACGUGGUUAUGCCUACAAAUUAAUAAUCUACAAACUAAUUUUCCAACCAUAAUAAUUCACACUUAAUAAUAAUAUAUGAACAGUGGCUUGGUUAUGUCUACGAAAGAAGACUAGGACCAUAAUAAUUCCCACUUAAUUUUCCUUCAUUUCUUCUUCUUCUUCACCAAAAUUGACUUACAAAAAGCUUUAAAGUAGACUUCAAAGUAGAGUGUUGUAAUAAAGCUAACAAUUUACUCUUAUUUUUUUUUUUUUUUAAUGUUUACUUUUAUGAAACUAUAUGAAAAAGCAUAACAAAAGUUAUUGCAUAAAAAAUAUUUUUUAAGUGUAUUGGUGGUCCAUUUGUAAGUGUAAUGUGAAUUCUAUUAAUUUUUUUACUUAAAAAUAUCAAUUUUAUUUUCUUUUUUUAAUCUAUGUAUCUUAAAAUCUUAUUUUAAAAAAUAAAAUAUAAGUUUUUAAGGAAAUCAAAAUAUGAAAAUUAAACUUUGGGUUAACUUUUUUUUUUCAAUCACAUGAUUUUAUCUCUACGAUAUAAUGAAAAGAAAAGAUGAUAUAGAGUUUAAACCCAUAUUAUCUAAAUGCCAAACGAAAACUCUUAUCAUUACUCUAAAUAAGUCUUCACCAAUCAAAUCAUUUUAUUAUAACAAUUGAUAAACUUGUUUUUAAAACUCUUAUAAUUGAUAAACUUUUAUAAUGUACAAAGUAAUAAAUGAAAAAAAAAAUGUUGUCCUAAUAUCCAAUGAAUUUACGAGUUCUAACUAGUAUCAAGAAAAACAAGCUUUAAAAAAAAAGUAAUGGAUAAAAAUUAUGUGAAGUGUAGCUCUCUUUUCCACUAAAUCGUCCAUUUUAAGGGGGGAGGGGGGUGGGAAUUCAUGUUCUUCAGCACCUUACCUUUGUAAUCAAAUUUAAACCCAUUAAUGAUGAAUAUCCAUUUCAUGGUAAUUCAUUUUUUAGGAAAUGGAAUCUGAUUCAAAUGAAGACUAAAUAUAGGAACCAAGGUGAAGGGUUUGAUGGGAGGGAAUACCAGGACAAAUGGUGUCCUCUAGCUCUUUGGAGUGAAAGAUUAAGGGUGAUUCAAAGGGACCCUUUAUUUCUCUUAUAGAGUUCAAGUUUUAGAUCCACUUUAUUUCUCUUUAAUGGGUUUUCUUAUUUUUGAAUACAAUGAUUUUUUGUGCAUUUUUCCAUCUCCAUCCAAUAAUCAUCUGAAGAGCCACAAUUCAGCUUCACCAGACUCCAAAAUACCCAAAUUCACAAGGAGGAGAGGGCCAUACGGUCCCCAACCUAGGUCCCACCCCUUUCGAACACGGCACACACAAUCUAGGAUUCAACCACCAUUGGGAUUCAAUCACAAUCCACCCUUCUUUGGAUGAUUUUACAAAGAGAACGAAGCUUAGCAAGAAACAAAAUUUCAUCAAUCGAUAACCUCUUCUUAUUGAACACGAGCUCGUUGCGAGCCAACCAAAUGGACCAAAGAAAAGAAGCGGCGCAGAUGAACCACCAUUGCUUUAACAAACCUGCAAAAUUCAUGUUAAAUAGCUUAAUUACAUUUUAAUUAAUGGGUAUACUACAGAAAUUGUCACUAAACUAUGGUUCAAAUUAUGUUUCGGACAAUCAACAAAAGUGAUUAUUUAUUAUUAUUUUUUGUCAGCAAUAAUUUUUUAUUUUAUAUAUUUUUAAAUUUAUUAUUUUUAUAUAUUUUUGUUGUUUAGAUUUAGGAUCAAAUUGAGAACACUUGUAAAUUUUGAGGGCUAAUUUUUUAAAAUCAUGACUAAAUUGAUAUAAUAUGUAAAAGUUGUGGGCUAAAUGAUUGAACUAUACAAUGUGGGUGCUUAAAUUGCAAACUUUUUAUUUUGGGUGCCUAAAAUAAAAAAUUUUGAUAGUUGGGCUUGACAUUUUUUUGUAAUUGGAAUGUUUUUUUUUUAAUUUGGACUUUAUUAUUAUUAUUGUUUAAUUUUUUAUUUUAUUUGUUUGUAAUCUGAGCCCGGGCUAAAUUGGGCCUCUACAAUUGCAAAAAAAAAAAAAGGACCCAAGUAGACCCUGAAUGGAUGAUAGAUUAUAAAUGUGUGACUUGUUUACUUCAAUUUAAAUAAAAGCUUGAAUUCUAAUAGAUAAGCAACUAAAAGUUGAUGUGUUGGGUGUAUACUUCUACAUUAUAUAGCAUCUUCCAUAAUAGUGGAAUUUAUAAUCAAAUAAAUGGUAAAUAAUAUCUUCUCAUUGACGUUACAUGAUAGAUAGAAAGUAAUGUGGUCACGAGUCAUUUGUAUUAGUGAUAAAUGACUUAAUUAUCAUUUGUUAGUAAUUAUCUUUUCAUGAAGGAAGAUUAAUAGUUAUCACUAGAUAAAAUAAGAUCGAAGAGCUAAGUCAUGAUAUUUUAAUGGUUGUAAUUAAUAGAUGAAAAGUCGAAAUUUAAUUACAAAUUAUUUUAACUCAUAUUAUAAAUGUUCAGUCAAUUCCCCUGUAGCUCGAGACAACCAGAAACGACAAAUUACAUAAACUUUUACCCAUUAAUUCCAUAAACUCCAUAUUUGAAGUUUUAAUACAAUUUCACUUACUGCACGGCAUACACGUGCUUGUGAAAAAAACUUAUUUCUCCAUUAUUUAAUAUGUAACUUCAUAAGGCAGCAAGCAGCCAUUCAGUCAAGGGCAGAACACAACCCUGUAAUUGGUCCCACCAGGGCAAGUAAAUGUGCUUGUUUGAUCAUCUUUAGGGUAACUGUAAGCAUCGGGGCAUCUUGCCUUGAAGAACCUGG